This 49582-nucleotide long non-coding RNA is filed under the name Panax ginseng (ginseng). RNAcentral describes it as "long non-coding RNA (PGIN_LNC001411)". Lineage: Eukaryota; Viridiplantae; Streptophyta; Magnoliopsida; Apiales; Araliaceae. The record is from RNAcentral.
UAUUAUCUUCUAGACAGUAUUCAAACUCAAAUAAGUCCUUAUUAUAAUUAUUGAUACAUUAUUUUACAAAAAUAGUGAGGACUACUAAAAUAACUUUUUAGAACCAUCAUUUCAUACCCUAACUAGUACUCGCUACAUUCUCGCCUCCUGAGAAAAAAAAUGGAACAAAAAGGAAAACGGUUAGCUCAACUAGCCCAGUAAAGAACAUUAUGACUAAGAUAAUAUAGAACAAAUUAUCGUUAGUCCUCAAUAGGGAAAAAUCUGAUAGAAUAUAAUAGACAACAAAUUUUAGAUCAAUAUUUGCAACGGAAAUAACAAAUCAUUAAAAGAGUUAAGUAGAGAAUGAAAUCUACUAUCUUCUAUGAUUUUAAAGUUCAUCAUCAAUAUUUUAUCCCUGUGAAAUCAAUCAAUAUAUAUCUUGAAUCAAAUAAUCAUAUUUGCAAUACGACCAAAAUAUUCAAUCGUAUUCCCAGUUGGUCAUGUUCAUCUCAACACCUGUUCAUCUUUGCAUUACAGGCCAAAGAUAUUCAUCAUGUAAUCGUUCAUCUUUGCACUACAGGCCAACGAUAUUUAGUUAUAUCACCAUUUAGGACUGAGAAUGAUGAAAAUAUUUUAAAAAAAACGAAUCCAGUGAGAUAAAAGGACAAAGAUUAAGGAUUCGUACUUUAGUUUAUCCAAAUUCAAAAAUACUCCAUAAUAAACCAUUGUGGAGUAAAAUUCAAGAAUGAAGAUGAAAACAUGGAUACAAUCAAAGUUAGUAACCAUAAUAAACAAUUUGGACAAAGAAAGGAAAAUUUUAAUUUUUCUAUGAAUAGUGUCGUAUACGUGAAUAGUGCCGUAUACGUGAAUAGUAACUCCGACACAAAAAAACAAGAAUUUCACAAGAAAAAUCUUACCAAUAUUCCGGAAUAAUGAUAUUGAAAGAAAUAAUAUCAUUUAUAAAAAAAAUAACAUCUCUUACCUCAUAAGAAUAGUAAUUCUGGCUGGAAUAUCAGAUAUAACGCUUAAAGGAACUUACACUGUAUAGCAACACUCAAAGUAUCAAAAUAUUAACAAAAAUACGCUCGAUAAAAUAGAGAGAGAAAACUUCAGUUUCUAGUGUGAUUUUCAAUUCUAACCUAAGCACCCUAUUUAUAGGAAAAUGCUUACAAUACCAAAGCAGAAAAUUUAAUAAAAUAUUAAUAUAUUAAAACAAAAUUCACGCCCACCUUAGAAAAUCUGAAUUCAGCAUUUUUACCACUCAUGUGGGGCCCACCCAAUUGCAAAAAAUAUUUUUCUUAAAAUAAAUAUUUUAAACUCUAAAAAUCAAUUAUUUCGGAACUUUAAUAAUUCAUAACAAAUAUCCCUUUUAUAAGAAAAAUUCAAAUCUUAUGUCCAUUCUAUAGAAAAUUCAAUUCUCUACAACUUUGUAAGUUUAAGUUUUUCCAAAUUCCAAGUAGAAAUUGACCGAAAUCCACAUACGGAUGAUUUUGCAGGCUAUAAUCAAAUUUCAGUCAAGAUGGGGUCCACCAACAUGUUUAACAUGUUUUUAGCAUUUAUUGUAACAAAAAUACUCUUCCUCCUCAUUAUUCAUAUAUCACACAUUCAUUAUAAAAAUAUCAUCAUUAUUAUAUUAUUAUAAUAUAAUAAUAUAUUUAAAUAAAUUAUUUUAUCAGAAAAGAUAAAAUAUCAAUUUUCAACAAUUGUCACUUUUAAAAAAAUUCCUCCAUUUAUAUCCACAUAAAACAAAUAUUUUUCUUAUCAUAUAAAUCAAUAAUUAAUUAUUCACAAAUAAUAUUACAUAAUCACAAUACUGACAACCAGGCUGUUCCUAGGAAAGAGGGGGCUUCUGAUAAGGAUUUUUCCUUAUUGACACGCAAUUAAAUAACCUCUCCUAGACAGAACUUUCUAGACAUUGUCAAUAAUGUUAUCUAGUAAUAUUAUUAAAAUAAUAUAAAUUAUUGAUCUGAUAAUGAAAAAUACUGUGUAGUGACAAUUAUUGAAACAACAAUAAUAUAAAAUAUCAACGUAGCAAUUAUUGAAUCAAUAAAAUAAAAUAUUGAACAGUAAUUACUGUAAUAAUUAUUGAGUACUGACUUCUUACGUAAGAAUCAAUAAUUGGAGAAAUACUGUGUAAUACUGUGCAACACCGCAUAUUACUGUGUUUUAACCAUCGGGUACUCCAACAGUGUUAACGGUAACAACUACGUCGUUAUUUAUAAAAACUCAUACUUGUCAUUUUUUUAUCCAAUCGCUUUCCGUUAUAGGGCCCACAAAAGGCUGCGCCGUCGUACGAAUAUUCCCCGACAGCAAGAAUAUUCCACGACCAAACGAAUAUUCCCCGACAGCAAGAAUAUUCCACGACCAAACGAAUAUUCCCCGACAACAAUGAAUAUUUUAUAACCACUUGCUUAUUUAAAAAAUUUGCGCAUUCUACCCAUAACUAACCACAUUAAUCAAAUCAACCCUUACUAUUUCAAAAUAAUAAAUAGAGGAAAUUCUAUUUUAUUCAUAAAAAUUGGGGUCUUACAACCUCCCCUCCUUAUGAAAUUUCGUCCUCGAAAUUGGCGUACGUACCUGGUGUUUCAAAAAGGUGAGGAUCCCUCGCUUUCAUUUUCGUUUCCAACUCCCAGAUCAUUUCCUCAAUAGCAUGGUUCCUCCACAAAACUUUGACUUGUGGUAUAACCUUUGUGCGUAGGACAUACUCCUUCCUAUCCAAGAUCUUGACAGGUACCUCCUCGUACGUUAAAUCUUUGGCUAUCUCGUCAGGUUCUAACUCAAUAAUGUGGUUUGGGUCUUUCAUAUAUUUAUGAAGAAUAGAUAUGUUAAAAACAUUAUGAACACGAGACAUGCUUAGAGGUAAUGCGAGUUUAUAGGCCACAUUUCCUAUUCGGUCAAGAAUUAAAAAUGGACCAAUAAAUAGUGGAUUGCGCUUUCCUCUCUUCCCAAAUCUUGUAACUCCCUUCCAUGGAGCAACACGUAACAAUACAUGAUCCUCAAUAUUAAAUUUCACGUCCUUUCGAUGAAGAUCCGCAUAACUCUUUUGUCGAUCCUGUGCCGUUUGUAUACAUUGUCAGAUUAUUUGGAUCUUUCCUAUAGUUAUAUGUACCAACUCUGGUCCCAAUAAUGUUGCUUCACCCACCUCAUCCCAACAUACUGGAGAGCGACACUUUCGUCCAUACAAUGCUUCAAAUGGAGCCACACCUAUACUUGCCUGAUAACUGUUAUUGUAGAAGAAUUCUACCAAUGGCAGGUGCUUAUCCCAACUCCCUUUGAAGUUUAGGACACAGAGUCUUAAUAGAUCCUCAAGAGUUUGAAUAGUCCUCUCUGAUUGUCCGUCCGUUUGAGGAUGGUAUGCCGAACUGAAUCAUAAAUCCGUGCCCGUAGCUUUCUGCAAGCUAACCCAAAAUCGUGAAGUGAAUCUUGGGUCACGAUCUGAAACUAUGGAUACUGGCAUGCUAUGCAACCUCACAAUCUCAUUCACGUACAUACGAGCAAGACAUUUAAGGGAGUAAGUUUUUUGUAUAGGAAAGAAAUGAGCAGACUUGGUUAAUCUAUCAAUAAGAACCCAAAUCGCAUCUAUGCCUUGAAAAACCUUAGGAAGACCCGAAAUGAAAUCCAUGGUAAAGUGUUCCCACUUCCAUUUUGGAAUCUCAAGUGAUUGCAAUGGACCCUUUGGCACUUGAUGCUCCGCCUUUACACGUUGAUAAGUUAAACACCUCGAGAUAAACUUCGCGAUCUCUCUCUUCAUAUUGUUCCACCAAAAUGUAUGUCGAAGAUCAUGAUACAUUUUGGUACUUCCAGGAUGGAUUGCAAACGGUGUAUUGUAUGCCUCCAUCAUGAUCUUGUACUUCAAAUUAGAGUCGUUAGGAACAUAAAGUCUGGAGUUAACUCGAAGUAUUUCUUCUUCAUCGAUUCUUGCUUCUGGGAUAACACCUUCUUAUACUCUCUUCUUCAUACGCAUCAGCUCCGGGUCUGUGGCUUGAUUAACUUUAACUUUAUCGAUUAAAGUUGGUUCUAUGCGUAUACUUGACAUUAUCAUAUGGGUCCCCGGAGUCUUUAACUCUAUCUUCAUCUUUUGUAAAUCAUAUAAAAUGGGCCUUUAUGUUGACAACAUCGCACUCGUUCCUGCAUAUGAUCUUCUACUUAAUGCGUCAGCUACCACGUUCACUUUUCCAGGAUGGUAUUGAAUGGUAUAGUCGUAAUCUUUCAACAGUUCAAGCCAACAUCGUUGUCGCAUGUUAAGUUCCUUUUGGAUGAAGAAAUAUUUGAGGCUUCUAUGAUCUGAAUUGAUCUCCACUUUCUCCCCAUAUAGAUAGUGCCUCCAGAUCUUUAGCGCGAAAAUGACUGCUGCCAAUUCUAGAUCAUGAGUAGCAUAAUUCCUCUCAUAUUCUUUAAGUUGUCGCGAGGCAUAGGCUAUGACUUUCCCAUAUUGUAUGAGAACACAUCGUAACCCUUUGCCUGAAGCAUCGCUGUAGAUGACAAAUCCCUUCGAACCAGAUGGUAUUGUCAGAAAAGGUGCCGAAAUGAGUCUCCUCUUGAGCUCUUGGAAACUCUUCUCGCAUUCCUUGCUCCAUACGAAUUUUGUAUCUUUCCGAGUCAGCUGAGUUAACGGAGUAGCGAUUCGAGAAAAUCCUUCCAUGAAUCUCCAAUAAUAACCAGCUAAGCCCAGAAAGCUACGUACUUCAGUCACCGACUUCGGUUGCCCCCAACUUUGUAUUGCUUUAAUCUUCGUCGGGUCAACAGAUACUCCAUGUUUCGACACCACGUGCCUAAGGAAUGCUACUUCCUCAAGCCAAAACUCGCAUUUCUUCAGCUUAGUAUAUAGCUUGUUUUCACGAAGCCUUUGAAGUACCAGCUUCAAAUGGUGCUCAUGAUCUUCACGGCUUUUGGAAUAGAUGAGGAUGUCAUCAAUAAAUACAACAACGAACUGAUCCAAAUAUUCCUUGAACACACGGUUCAUCAUAUCCAUAAAAGCCGCAGGAGCAUUAGUCAAUCCAAAAGACAUGACUAAGAAUUUAUAAUGCCCGUAUCGAGUGCUGAAGGCAGUCUUCGAAAUAUCCUUAGUUUUAAUCUUCAGCUGAUGAUAUCCAGAACGAAGAUCAAUCUUUGAAAAGAAUUGUGCUCCUUGCAACUGGUCAAACAGGUCAUCAAUGUGAUGUAGCGGAUACCUAUUCUUGAUGGUGACAUGGUUCAAUUCCCGGUAGUCAAUACAAAGUCGCAUACUCCCGUCUUUUUUCUUUAUAAAUAAAAUAAGAGCACCCCAAGGAGAUGUACUAGGACGAAUGAAACUGAUGUCCAACAACUCCUGUAGUUGGACCUUUAACUCCUGAAGUUCAAUAGAAGCCAUUCGAUAUGGAGUUUUAGAAAAGGGUUUUGUACCAGGUUCAAGGUCAAUAAAGAAUUUAACUUCACGUUCUGGGUGUAGACCGGGAAGUUCUUCAGCAAAUACAUCAGGAAAUUCAUUAACAACAUAAAUAUUAUUCAAAUCUGAUGUGUCUUUAUUCAAAUACAUAACAUGGGCUAAGAAAGCUUGACAUUCAUUUUUCAAUAAAUGAAUGGCUUUAUAACUUGAUAUGACAAUGAUUGAUUUUAGUGGUUUAGUUGCUUGAAUUCGCAUAACAGGUUAGUUAGGAAUAUGAAAAUUAAAAACUUUAGGAAAACAAUCAAUUUUGGUAUGAUGAGUAGUUAACCAAUCAAUCCCUAAAAUCACAUCAAAUGCAAGUAUCUUUAAAGAGAUAAGAUCAACAGGUAAUGUGAUGGUGACAACUUGGAUCAAGCAAGAUUUAUAAAUAGUGGAUACAAUAAAAGUUUCUCCUAAUAGAGUCUCAACAUAUAAGUCAAAGUCCAAUUUCUCCAGAGUCAAGUUCAAAUGUUGAGCACAAGCAGGAGAGAUAAAAGAAUGGGUUGAACUGGUAUCUAGUAAGGUAUAAACUUCGUAAGAGUUUAUGAUUAGCUUACCUAUGAUUACCUUGUUAGGGUUCCUCGCAUUUUGGCCAGUCACGACAAACGCACUUCCAGGAACCGCUGAGUUUGACUUUUCUGGGAUAGCUUUUGAAGUUACCAUUCCCGCUGGACUUGAUUUCGCUACAGAACAAUCUCGAGCUAUAUGACCUUCCUUUCCACAGUUAUAACAUACCUUGGAUUGUUGUGAGCAGUUUGGGCUGAUGUGUCCCUCUUUUUUGCAUUUAUAACAUACGACCGGUGGUCGUUCUCCUCCCCUAGAAACAGUUGAUACUGGUGCUGACGUCUUCACAUUGUCAUUGUUGUACCUUCUCUUUUUGAAAUCUCCCCCUAACUUGUUUCUUCUACUAUCAUGGCCACGAUUACAACCAGAGUGGUUACCGCUUUUGUCUUUAUUCUUUCCUCCCCGCUGGUUAUCAUUGUUCCGAUUACUGCUGCCACUGGUCUGACCCUGGUUGUGGUCCCUCGGUUGAACAUACUCAUUAUCUCGCUCUAAUAAUUGAGCCCUGUUGACAACAUCUGAAUAUAGAGAAAAUUUGUGAGAAAUGAGGUAUUGACGAAUGUCAGGUUUCAAACCUCUCAGAAAUAUCCGCGUCAUAUGUUCCUCAUUCUCUACCAAAUGAGGUGCAAACCUGGAUAACUCUGCGAACUUUACCUCAUACUGGGACACAGUCAUGUUGUUCUGUUCCAGUCUGAUAAACUCUACCUCUUUCAUAUGACGGAUACUUUCAGGAAAGUAUUUGUCAUUGAAUAAUUUCUAAAACGCUUCCCAAGACAUAUUGAGUGCGGCAGGCUGGAUACGCUUCACAGAUUCUCACCAGUAAUUUGCCUCACCACGGAACGUAAAAGUGGCGAAUGGAACCUUCUGUUCCUCCGUGCAUCCCAAGACAUCAAAUAUCUUGGUAAUUUGCUUGACCCACAUUUUUGCCUUAAUCGAAUCCGACUUUCCCCAGAAUUCUGGUGGUCCCAACUCUUUGAACUGCUUGGCUGUGACAAACUGCAUGUUGUUAUCAUUUUCACCUGUAUUUUGUUCACAAGUCUCCCUCGUCUGAUUUUGCAUGAACUGCAAAUAGCUUCUAAACAUCCCAUCAUUCAUCGUCUGAUCAGUGGUGUAGUUUACAGGAGGAACAUUGAUGUCAUGUUGCACGUUCUCCUAGUUGGUGAUUAAAGGUGUUUCCACAAUCUCAUUCACUCCAUCGUUAAUAUUUUCAGCUGCCAUUUUUAAAUACUGCCAGAAAACAAGGGUUAAUUAAAGAAAUUGACAUGCAACAUAAUAACCCUAUACUCUGACCAACCAACAAAUAAGCUUAGGUAGGACAUACUAGCGAAGGACUUACUUAUCUCUCCCCUCCUAGUUCUAUUCCCCGAUCUCCGCCAGAGACCAUAUCCCUAAGCUCUGAUACCAACUGUGACGCCCCCAAAAUAGGUAUACAUCACCCAUUCUGAGUCACCAAAUAUAUGGUACAGAAAUAACUAUAACUUUAUUAAUACAAUUGUCGUGCAAAAUACGACAACACAUAAACUGUGAGUUUAAAUACAAAUAUUAUCUUCUAGACAGUAUUCAAACUCAAAUAAGUCCUUAUUACAAUUAUUGAUACAUUAUUUUAUAAAAAUAGUGAGGACUACUAAAACAGCUUUCUAGAACCAUCAUUCCAUACCCCGACUAAUACUCGCUACAUUCUCGCCUCCAGAGAAGAAAAAUGAAACAAAAAGAAAAAGGGCGAGCUCAACUAGCCCAGUAAAAAACAUUAUGACUAAGAUAAUAUAGAACAAAUUAUCGUUAGUCCUCAACAAGGAAAAAUCUGAUAGAAUAUAAUAGACAACAAGUUUUAGAUCAAUAUUCGCAGCGAAAAUAACAAAUUAUUAAAAGAGUUAAGUAGAGAAUGAAAUCUACUAUCUUCUAUGAUUUUAAAGUUCAUCAUCAAUAUUUUAUCCCUGUGACAUCAAUCAAUAUAUAUCUUAAAUCAAAUACGCAUAUUUUCAAUACGACCAAAAUAUUCAAUCGUAUUCCCAGUUGGUCAUUGUAAGACCCCAACUAUUAUGAAUAAAGAUGAAUUUUUCUAAAUAUCAUUUUUGAAUAUUAAGGUGUGAGUUUGUUAUAAUGUUAUAGUUGUGAGUAAUAUUUAUAAAUUUUUCAAAGUAAGCAAGUUGUUAUAUAAUAUUCAAUUAGUCGGGGAAUAUUCGUUUUAACAGGGAAUAUUCGUACGACGGCACAAUCAUUGGUGGACCCCACAACAGAAGUAUUGUCGUAGUUAGAAAACGAUAGAAUUAUCUUUUGAUAAAAAUAACGGCGAAAGUGUUACCGUUAAAACUGUUGAACUACCCGGUAGUAAAAGUACAGUAAUACACGUGGUGGCAUAGUAGCACACGGUAUUGAUUAUUGAUGCUUACGUGAGACUUCACUCAGUUAUACUCAAUUAUUGCUACAGUAAUUGUUGUAUCAUAUCUCUCAUAUUAUUGAUUCAAUUAUUGUCACAGUAUCAUCUGUAUAAUAUGUUAUAUUAUUAAAUUAAUAUUUGAGACGGCAAAGUUAUUCAUAUUAUUAUUUACAAUAUUGACAAUAUCUAAAAGUUUUGUCAAUGAGAGGUUAGAUAAUCUAAUUGCGCACCAAUAGGGAGAAAUCCUUAUCGGAAAGCCCCCUCUUUCCUAGGAACGACCUGGUUAUUAAAUAUUGUGAGUUAUAAUAUUAAUGAUGAAUAAGUUCGUGUUGAUUAAAGAUGAAAUUGAUAUUUUCAUUAUGUGAGAAUUAUUAGUGUUAGUGGAAAUAUAUAUUUAUUUUGAUAAUAAUUGAUGUCUGGAGAUUAUAUUGACCAAUCGGGUAAUAACCGGAUAAAUGAGCAAUUAAUUGCUAUUAAUUCACAUGCUUAUAACUAUUUAUUCAUAUGUGUUUACUAUUGAUUCACAUGCAUGUACUAUUAGGGGAGUUGGUGCAAGAUUGAUAAUACUUGCAUGACUAAAUUAAAAAUAGAGGUAUAGAUAAAAGUAUUAUACUGUAAUUAUUUUUUUCACAUGUAUAGAACUAUUGAUCAAUCACAUGAUUUACUAUUAAUUCACAAGAUUUACUAUUAGGGGAGGUGGUGCAAGUUUGAUAAUACUUGCAGGACUAAAUUAAAAAUGAAGAAAAAGAGGAAGGUAUUAUACUGUAAUAUUUUGAGCCCCAAAAUGUGCAAUUAUCGAAACUAUAUUUUCCUAUAAAUAAAAGCUCAUUCUUCCUUCAUUCUCACAAAUUCACUAAGUCUCACAAGAGCAAUUAUAGAGAGAUAAGUUAUAGAGAGGAAGAAGAAGAGAAGUCUGCUACCUUACUAUUCCAAUAUCCAGUCUUUUUCUGAGGUAAGGGAUAUUAUUUUGUUCAGUAUUCCUUGGAAUAAUAUUUUCUUCCAUACUCUGUAGUAUGUGAGUAAUAUUAUUUCAUCUCGUAUUCUUGAUUAUACUCUCAUUCUGUUAAAGUAAUGCUUCUAUACUCCGUGAAAUUAGUAGAAUAUCUUUGAUAUUUGUGCUUCAUCUAGUAUCUUUUCAUGAAAAUAUUAAUUUGAGCUUUCUUGAUAAUUAUUGAUCUUUUUAUACCGAAAUACUAUUCAUGAGUUACUAUUUAUGGGUACUAUUCACCCCGUUACUAUUCACUCAAAUAUUAUUCACUCGGGUAUUUGGGGCACUUUUCAUGCCGAAGUAUUAUUCACGAGUUAUUAUUCAUUAGUUACUAUUCACCCAGUUACUAUUCAUACAAAUAUUAUUCACUCGGGUAUUUGGGGCACUUUUCAUGCCGGGGUACUAUUCACGAGGUACUAUCCACAGGGUACUAUUCACCUGAAAAAUAUAUUUCUUUUAUGUCCAAAUUAUUUUUGAUACAUGAAUAUUAUUCUUGAAUUUUACUCCACAAAGCAGUAUCAUGUUGACAAUUUGGAUAUUUUUAAACUCUGGAUAAAUUUAAAGUCUUUAAUAUUUAUCCUUGAUUUCGUUUGAUUAAUGCUUAUAUCAUUGUCAUCAUCCUCAUGCUUAUAUUGUGAUGAAAGCCAUCUUUGGCUUGCGUGCAUAGAUGGACUGUUGAUUGGUAUGAUUAUGUUCAGGGAUCAUUCGGUAUAAUCAUGAUAUGUAAUAUAACAAAUAAUGUGGUAAAAGUCCUCAUUAUCCUGUAGUUCAUUGAUGGAUAGUUGUUGGUAUAAUUAUGACCAGGGAUUAUUCGGUAUAAUCAUAACCAUUGAUGAUUACAUGAAUAUCCUUGGUCGUGGUGCAGGGAUGAUUCGAUGAUGUGGUUUAUUUAUUAAGCCGAGUCUCAGCGAUAAAGUUGAUGAAAAACUUUUUUUAAAUCAUAGAAGAUAGUAGAUAUCAUGCUCUACUUGACUCUUCUAAUGGAUUAUUUGUUCCACUGCAGUUAAACUUGUUGUCUAUUAUAUUCUAUCAGUUUAACAUUGUUGAAGGCUAACGAUAAUUUAUUCUGCAUUAUCUUAGUCAUAAUAUUUCUUACUGGGCUAGUUGAGCUCACCCUUUUGCUUUCAUUGUUCACUUCAGGAAAUGAGAACGUAGCUGGGACUUGUCGGGGAAUGGAGUAAUGAUCCGAGAUGGUGUCAUAGUAGUCCUCAUUAUUCUAUAAAAUAGUGUAACAAUAAAUAUAAUGAGGACUCCAUUGAGUGUGGAUAUUAUCUAUAUGACAAUAUCUGUAUUAAAACUCUCAGAGUAUAUUUUUUCGUAUUUUACACGACAGUUGUAUAAUUAAGUUGUAUUUAAAAUUUUGUACCAUGUAUUUGGCGACUCAAGAUGGGUGAUGUAUACCUAUUUUGGGGGCGUCAUAGUUGGUAUCAAAGCUUAGGGAUAUGAUCCCUGGCUGAGAUGUGAGACAAGAACUAGGAGGGGAGAGACGGGGAAUUCCUUCGCUAGUAUGACCUACCUAAGUUUAUUUGGUAUUUAAUUGGUCUGUCAGAGUAUAUGGAUAAUAUGUGACAUGUCUAUUAACCCUUAUUUUGUGGCAGUAUUUGAAAAUGACAUCCAAAAAUGUUGAGAUAAACAAUGAAGCACAUGAGACCGUUGAGUCACCAACGAUCAAUACCCAGGAUAAUGUGCAACAGGAAGAAAAUAAUCCUCAGGUAAACAAUAACACCGAUGAAAUGAUGAACGAUGGGAUGUUCAGAGGCUUUAUGCAAUUCAUGCAACAUAAGGCGAGAGCGGCUUCUGUUCAAAAUGCUGGUGGAAACACUGGAAACUCUCGGAUGGUCACCGCCAAACAGUUCAAGGAGCUGGGACCACCAGAGUUUAUUAGAGAGCCAAAACCACUUAAGGCAGAGACAUGGAUAAAGCAGAUCACCAAGAUAUUUGAUGUCUUGGGAUGUUCCGAGGAGCAGAAGGUUCCCUUUUCCACCUUUAUAUUGCGAGGAGAGGCAGAUUUCUAGUGGGAAUCUGUAAAGCGUACUCAACCUACCUCACUGAAGAUGUCUUGGGAGAAGUUCUAAGAACUUUUCAAUGACAAGUACUUUCCUGAAAGUAUUCAUCACAUGAAGGUGGUAGAGUUCAUCAAGCUGGAAUAAAAUAAUAUGACUGUGUCGCAGUACGAGGCUAAGUUUACUGAGUUGUCCCGAUUUGCGUUCCACUUGGUUGAUAAUGAUGAAAGAAUGACGCGGAUGUUUCUAAGAGGUUUGAAACUUGAGAUACGACAAUACCUCGUUUCUCACAAACUGUGUUUGUAUUCAGAUAUUAUAAAUAGGGCUCAGCUAUUGGAGCGCGAUAAUGAGUCAACCCAAUCAAGAGAGAGCAGCCGACAAAUCGAUAAUACCAGUGAUAGCAGUCAUCGAAGCGGUUACAACAAACGUGGAGGGAAUCAACAUGCCAGAAAUGGUAACCACUUCGAUGGUAAUCAUGGACAAGACAAUAGGAAAUUUUAAGAAGAAAAGGUUCAACAACGUUGGAAAGACAGUAACACCAGCACCCGUUUUCAAGGAAGGAGAACGAUCGCCGGUCGUAUGUUACAAAUGCGGAGGGGAGGGACAUAUCAGUCCAAACUGCGUGAUGCAGUCCAAAACAUGUUACAAUUGUGGAAGAGAAGGUCACUUAGCCCAAUUUUGUCGUGUACCAAAGUCAAGUCCAGCUGGGAUGGAGGCAUCAAAGGCCGUCCCAGACAACACAAAAUCGGUAGUUCAAGGGAGAGCAUUUGUCGUAACCUACCAAAAAGCGAGGAAUCCGAAUGAGGUGAUCACGGGUAAGCUAAUCAUAAACUCUAUUGAAGUCUAUACCUUAUUUGAUAUCGGUUCUAUCCAUUCUUUUAUUUCUCCUACUUGCGCUCAACGUUUAAAUUUGACUCCAAAGAAAUUAGACUUUGACUUAUCUGUUGAAACUCCGUUGGGAGAAACCUUCAUUAAAACCACUGUUUUUAAGUCUUGUUUGAUUCAAAUUGGUAACCGCACGUUACCUGUCGAUCUUAUUCCUUUGAAAAUACUUGUAUUUGAUGUGAUUUUAGGGAUUGAUUGGUUAACUACUCAUCAUGAUAAAAUUGAUUGUUUUCGUAAGGUUGAUAACUUUAAUAUUCCUAACCAACCAAUUAUGCGAAUUCAAGCAACCAAACCACUAAAGUCAAUCAUUGUUAUAUCAAGCCAUAAAGCUAUUCGUUUAUUGAAAAAUGGAUGUCAAGCUUUCUUAGCCCAUGUCACAGAUUUAAACAAAAAUACGUCAGAUUUGAAUGAUAUUUCUAUUGUUAAUAAAUUUCCUGACAUAUUCCCUGAAGAACUUCCAGGUCUACCCCCGGAGUGUGAAAUUGAGUUUGGUAUUGACCUUGAACCUGGUACAAAACUCAUUUCCAAAGUCUCAUAUCCAAUGGCUCCUAUUGAACUUCAGGAGUUAAAAACUCAACUACAGGAAUUGUUAGACAUCAGUUUCAUUCGUCCUAGUACGUCUCCUUGGGGUGCUCUUAUUCUAUUUUUGAAGAAAAAAGAUGGAAGUAUGCGACUUUGUAUUGAUUAUCGGGAGUUAAAUCAUGUCACCAUCAAAAAUAGGUACCCAUUGCCACGUAUUGAUGACCUGUUUGACCAAUUGCAAGGCGCCAAAUUCUUUUCAAAGAUCGAUCUUCGUUCCGGAUAUCAUCAGUUGAAGAUUAAAACUGAUGACAUUCCAAAGACGGCUUUCAGAACUCGGUACGGGCAUUAUGAAUUCCUGGUCAUGUCCUUUGGAUUGACUAAUGCGCAUGCUGCCUUUAGAUCACUUUGUGGUCGUCUUUAUUGAUGACAUCCUCAUAUACUCCAAAAGCCGUGAAGAUCAUGAGCAACACUUGAGGCUGAUACUCCAAAAGCUUCGUGAAAAUAAGCUAUAUGCCAAGUUGAAGAAAUGUGAAUUAUGGCUUGAUGAAGUAACAUUUCUUGGGCACGUGAUAUCAAAUCAUGGAAUAUCUGUUGACCUGAAAAAGAUUAAAGUAAUUCAAAGCUGGGAGCAACCUAAGUCAGUGACCAAAAUAUGUAGCUUUCUCGGCUUAGCUGGUUAUUAUUGGAGAUUCGUAGAAGGGUUUUCUCGAAUCGCUACUCCAUUAACUCAGUUGACUCGAAAAGAUAUAAAAUUCGGUUGGAGCGAGGAAUGUGAGAAGAUAUUUCAAGAACUCAAGAGAAGACUCAUUUCAGCACCUGUUCUGAUAAUACCAUCUAGCUCAGAGGGAUUUGUCAUCUACAGUGAUGCUUCAGGCAAAGGGUUAGGAUGUGUUCUCACAUAAAAUGGGAAAGUCAUAGCCUAUGCCUCAUGACAACUCAAAGAAUAUGAAAGGAAUUAUCCUACUCAUGAUCUAGAGUUGGCAGCAGUCAUUUUUGCACUUAAGAUUUGGAGGUAUUACCUGUAUGGAGAGAAGGUGGAGAUCUAUACAGAUCAUAAAAGUGUCAAAUAUUUCUUCACUCAAAAGGAACUCAACAUGCGGCAACGACGAUGGCUUGAGCUGUUGAAAGAUUAUGAUCAUACCAUCCAAUACCAUCCUGGAAAAGUGAACGUGGUAGCUGACGCAUUGAGUAGAAGAUCAUAUGCGGGCAUGAGUGCGAUACUGUCAAUGUAAAGGCCCAUUUUGUAUGACUUACAAAGGAUGGAGAUAGAGUUAAAGACUCCAGGGACUCAUGUGAUGAUGAAGAAUAUACGAGUAGAACCGAUUUUAAUCGAUAAAGUUAAAGCUACUCAAGCUACAGUCCUGGAGCUGAUGUGUAUGAGGAAGAAAGUGCAAGAAGGUGCUAUUUCGGAAGCAAGAAUCGAUGAAGAAUGAAUACUUUGAGUCAACUCCAGACUUUGUGUUCCUAACGAUUCUGACUUGAAGUAUAAAAUCAUGAUAGGGACGCACAACACACCGUUUGCAAUCCAUCAUGGGAGUAACAAAAUGUAUUGUGAUCUUUGACAUAGAUUUUGGUGGAGCAAUGUGAAGAGCGAGAUAGCGGGGUUUAUCUCAAGGUGUCUAACUUGUCAACGAGUCAAGGCGGAGCAUCAAGUGCCAAAAGGUCCAUUGCAACCACUUGAAAUUCUAGAAUGGAAGUGGGAGCACAUUACCAUGUGUUUUGUUACUGGUCUUCCCAAGGUUUCUCAAGGCAUAGAUGCGAUUUGGGUCAUUGUUGAUAGAUUGACCAAGUCUGCUCAUUUCUUACCUAUACAAGAAACUUAUACACUUGAACGUCUUGCUCGUACGUACAUAAAUGAGAUUAUAAGACUACAUGGUAUUCCAGUAUCCUUAUUUUCUGAUCGAGACCCAAGAUUCACUUCACAAUUUUGGGUUAGUUUGCAAAAAGUUAUGGGCACGAAUUUACGAUUUAGUUCAGCAUAUCAUCCUCAAAUGGACGGGAAGUCGAAGAGGAAUAUUCAAACUCUUAAAGAUUUAUUAAGACUCUCCGUGCUUGACUUCAAGGGAAGUUGGGACAAGUUCUUAUCAUUGGUGGAGUUUUCUUACAACAAUAGUUAUCAAGCAAGUAUUGGCAUGGCUCCAUUUGAGGCGUUGUAUGGAAAAAAGUGUCGUUCUCCAGUAUGAUGGGAUGAGGUGGGUGAAGUAAUGUUAUUGGGACCGGAGUUGGUACGUAUGACUACGAAAAAAAUUCAAACGAUCCGACAAUGUAUAAAAACCUCACAAGAUCGAUAAAAGAGUUAUGAUGAUCUUCAUCGAAAGGAGGUGGAAUUCAAUAUUGGAGAUCAUGUGUUGUUACGUUUUGCUCCAUGGAAAGGAGUUACGAGAUUUGAAAAGAGAGAAAAGCUCAAUCCUCGAUUUAUUGGCCCAUUUUUAAUCCUCGAUCGAGUAGGAACUGUGGCCUAUAGACUCGCCUUACCGCCAAGUAAGUCUCGUGUUCUUAAUGUUUUUCACAUAUCUAUGUUACGUAAAUAUGUGAAAGACCCGAACCACAUUAUUGAAUUAGAACCAGAUGAGAUAGCAGAAGAUUUAACGUAUGAAGAGGUACCUGUGAAAAUCUUGGAUAAGAAUGAUCAUAUUCUACGUUCCAAGAUUAUACCUUAAGUUAAAGUUUUGUGGAGAAACCACGAUGUAGAGGAAAUGACCUGGGAGUUAGAAUCUAAAAUGAAAUCAAGGUAUCCUCACGUCUUCGUCAUACCAGGUAUGUACCCUAAUUUUGAGGGCAAAAUUUCAUAAGAAGGAGAGGUUGUAAGACCCCAACUUUUAUGAAUAAAGAUGAUUUUUUCUAUAUAUAUCACUUUUAAAUAUUAAGGUGUGAGUUUGUUAUAAUGUUAUAGUUGUGGGUAAUAUUUAUAAAUUUUGCAAAGUAAGCAAGUUGUUAUAUAAUAUUCAAUUAGUCGGGGAAUAUUCGUUUUAACAGGGAAUAUUCAUACGACGACACAAUCAUUGGUGGACCCCACAACAAAAGUAUUGUCGUAGUUAGAAAACGAUAGAAUUAUCUUUUUAUAAAAAUAACGGCAAAAGUGUUAUCGUUAAAACUGUUGAACUACCCAAUAGUAAAAGUACAGUAAUACGCGUAGGUGCAUAGUAGCACACGGUAUUGAUUAUUGAUGUUUACGUGAGAAGUCACUCAGUUAUACUCAAUUAUUGUUACAGUAAUUGUUGCAUCAUAUCUCUCAUAUUAUUGAUUCAAUUAUUGUCAUAAUAUCAUCUGCAUAAUAUGUUAUAUUAUUAAAUAAAUAAUUGAGAUGACAAAGUUAUUCAUAUUAUUAUUUACAAUAUUGAUAAUGUCUAAAAGUUUUGUCAAGGAGAGGUUAGAUAAUCUAAUUGCGCGCCAAGAAGGAGAAAUUCUUAUCGGAAAGCCCCCUCUUUUCUGGGAACGACCUGGUUAUUAAAUAUUGUGAGUUAUAAUAUUAAUAAUGAAUAAGUUCGUGUUGAUUAAAGAUGAAAUUGAUAGUUCCAUUGUGUGGGAAUUAUUAGUUUUAGUGGAAAUCAAUAUUUAUUUCAAUAAUAAUUGAUGUCUGGAGAUUAUAUUGACCAAUCAGGUAAUUAACCGGAUAAAUGAGCGAUUAAUUGCUAUUAAUUCACAUGCUUAUAACUAUUUAUUCACAUGUGUUUACUAUUGAUUCACAUGCAUGUACUAUUAGGGGAGUUGGUGCAAGAUUGAUAAUACUUGCAUGACUAAAUUAAAAAUAGAGGUAUAGAUGAAAGUAUUAUACUGUAAUUAUUUUUUUCACAUGUAUAGAACUAUUGAUCAGUCACAUGAUUUACUAUUAAUUCACACGAUUUACUAUUAGAGGAGGUGGUGCAAGUUUGAUAAUAUUUGCAGGACUAAAUUAAAAAUGAAGAAAAAGAGGAAGGUAUUAUACUGUAAUAUUUCGAGCCCCAAAAUGUGCAAUUAUCGAAACUAUAUUUUCCUAUAAAUAAAAGCUCAUUCUUCCUUCAUUCUCACAAAUUCACUAAGUCUCACAAGAGCAAUUAUAGAGAGAGAAGUUAUAGAGAGAAAGAAGAAGAGAAGUCUGCUACCUCACUAUUCCAGUAUCCAGUCUUUUUCUGAGGUAAGGGAUAUUAUUUUGUUCAGUAUUCAUUGGAAUAAUAUUUUUUUCAUACUCUGUAGUAUGUGAGUAAUAUUAUUUCAUCUCGUAUUCUUGAUUAUACCCUCAUUCUGUUAAAUUAAUGCUUCUAUACUCCGUGAAAUUAGUAGAAUAUCCUUGAUAUUUGCGCUUCAUCCAGUAUCUUUUCAUGAAAAUAUUAUUUUGAGCUUUCUUGAUAAUUAUUGAUCUUUUUAUGCCGGAAUACUAUUCAUGAGUUACUAUUUAUGGGUACUAUUCACCCCGUUAUUAUUCACUCAAAUAUUAUUCACUCGGAUAUUCGGGGCACUUUUCAUGACAGAGUACUAUUCACCCGGUUACUAUUCACACAAAUAUUAUUCACUCGGGUAUUUGGGACUUUUCAUGCCGGGGUACUAUUCGCAGGUUACUAUUCACGGGGUACUAUUCACCCAAAAAAUAUAUUUCUUUUAUGUCCAAAUUAUUUUUGAUACAUAAAUAUUAUUCUUGAAUUUUACUCCACAAAGCAGUAUCAUGUUGACAAUUUGGAUAUUUUUAAACUCUGAAUAAAUUUAAAUUUUUUAAUAUUUAUCCUUGAUUUCGUUUGAUUAAUGCUUAUAUCAUUGUCAUCAUCCUCAUGCUUAUAUUGUGAAGAAAGUCAUCUUUGGCUUACGUGCAUAGAUGGACUGUUGAUUGGUAUGAUUAUGACCAGGGAUCAUUCGAUAUAAUCAUGACCUGUAAUGUAACAAAUAAUGUGGUAAAAGUCCUCAUUGGCAUGUAGUUCAUUGAUGGACAGUUGUUGGUAUGAUUUUGACCAGGGAUUAUUCGGUAUAAUCAUGACCAUUGAUGAUUACAUGAAUAUCCUUGGCCGUGGUGCAGGGAUGAUUCGAUGAUGUGGUUUAUUUAUUAAGCUGAGUCUCAGCAAUAAAGUUGAUGAAAAACUUUUUUUAAAUCAUAGAAGAUAGUAGAUAUCAUGCUCUACUUGACUCUUCUAAUGGAUUGCUUGUUCCGCUGCAGUUAAACUUGUUAUCUAUUAUAUUCUAUCAGUUUAACAUUGUUGAAGGCUAACGAUAAUUUAUUUUGCAUUAUCUUAGUCAUAAUAUUUCUUACUGGGCUAGUUGAGCUUACCCUUUUUGCUUUUAUUGUUCUCUUCAGGAAAUGAGAACGUAGCUGGGACUAGUCGGGGAAUGGAGUGAUGGUCCGAGAUGGUGUCAUAACAGUCCUCACUAUUCUAUAAAAUAGUGUAACAAUAAAUGUAAUGAGGACUCCAUUGAGUGUGGAUAUUGUCUAGAUGACAAUAUUCGUAUUAAAACUCUCAGAGUAUAUUUUGUCGUAUUUUACACGACAGUUGUAUAAUUAAGUUGUAUUUAAAUUUUUAUACCAUGUAUUUGGCGACUCAAGAUGGGUGAUGUAUACCUAUUUUGGGGGCGUCACAGUCAUGUUCAUCUCAACACAUGUUCAUCUUUGCACUACAGGCCAAAGAUAUUCAUCAUGUAAUCGUUCAUCUUUGCACUACAUGCGAAAAAUAUUCAGUUAUAUCACCAUUUAGGACUGAGAAUGAUGAAAAUAUUUUAAAGAAAACGAAUCCAGUGAUAUAAAAGGAGAAGAAUUAAGGAUUCGUACUUUAGUUUAUCCAAAUUCAAAAAUAUUCCAUAAUAAACCAUUGUGGAGUAAAAUUCAAGAAUAAAGAUCAAAACAUGGAUACAAUCAAAGCUAGUAACCAUAAUAAACAACUUGGGCAAAGAAAGGAAAAUUUUAUUUUUUUUGUGAAAAGUGUCGUAUGCGUGAAUAGUGUCGUAUACGUGAAUAGUAAUCCCGACACAAAAAGACAAGAAUUUCUGAAGAAAAAUCUUAUCAAUAUUCUGGCAUAAUGAUAUUGAAAGAAAUAAUAUCAUUUAUAAAAAAAAAUAACAUCCCUUACCUCAAAAGAAUAGUACUUCUGGCUGGAAUAUCAGAUAUAACGCUGAAAGGAACCUGCACAGUAUAGCAACACUCAAAGUAUCAAAAAACUCACAAAAAUACGCUCGAUAAUAUAGAGAGAGAAAACUUCAGUUUCUGGUGUGAUUUUUAAUUCUGACUUAAGCACCCUAUUUAUAGGAAAAUGUUUAGAACACCAAAGCAGAAAAUUUAAUAAAAUAUUAAUAUAUUAAAAAAAAUUCACUCCCACCUCAGAAAAUCUGAAUUCAGCAUGUUUACCACUCAUGUGGGGCCCACACAAUUGUAAAAAAUGUUUUUCUUAAAAUAAAUAUUUUAAACUCCAAAAAUCAAUUAUUCUGUAACUUCAAUAAUUCAUAAUAAAUAGCUCUUUUAUCAGAAAAAUUUGAAUCUUAUCUCCAUUCCAUAGGAAAUUCAAUUCUCUACAACUUUGUAAGUUUAAGUUUUUCCAAUUUCCAAGCAGAAAUUGACCAAAAUCCACAUACGGAUGAUUUUGCAGGCUAUAAUCAAAUUUCAGUCAAAAAUAGGGUCCACCAACAUGUUUAACAUGUUUUUAGCAUUUAUUGUAACAAAAAUACUCUUCAUCAUCAUUUAUUCAUAUAUCACACAUUCGUUGUAAAAACACCAUUAUUAUAUUAUUAUAAUAUAAUAAUAUAUUUAAAUGAAUUAUUUUAUCAAAAAAGAUAAAAUAUCAAUUUUCAACCAUUGUCACUUAAAAAAAAUUCCUCCAUUUAUAUCCACAUAAAAUAAAUAUUUUCUUUAUCAUAUAAAUCAAUAAUUAAUUAUUCACAAAUAAUAUUACAGAAUCACAAUACUGACAACCAGGCUGUUCCCAAGAAAGAGGUGGCCUUCCGGUAAGGAUUUUUCCUUACUGGCGCGCAAUUAAAUAACCUCUCCUAGACAGAACUUUCUAGAUAUUUCUAAUAAUGUUAUCUAGUAAUAUUAUUAAAAUAAUAUAAAUUAUUGAUCUGAUAAUGGGAAAUGCUGUGUAGUGACAAUUAUUAAAACAAUAAUAAUAUAAAAUAUCAGCGUAGCAAUUAUUGAAUCAAUAAAAUAAAAUAUUGAACAGUAAUUACUGUAACAAUUAUUGAGUAGUGACUUCUUACGUAAGAAUCAAUAAUUAAUGCAAUACCGUGUGCUACUGUGCAACACCGCGUAUUACUGUGUUUUAACCACCGGGUAUUCCAAUAGUGUUAAUGGUAACAACUAUGUUGUUAUUUAAAAAAACUCAUACUUGUCAUUUUCAUCCAAUCGCUUUUCGUUAUGGGGCCCACAAAAGGCUGCGCCAUCGUAUGAAUAUUCUCCGACAGCAAGAAUAUUCCACGACCAAACGAAUAUUCCCCGACAACAAUGAAUAUUUUAUAACCACUUGCUUAUUUAAAAUAUUUGCUCAUUCUACACAUACCUAACCACAUUAAUCAAAUCAACCCUUACUAUUUCAAAAUAAUAAAUAGAGGAAAUUCCAUUUUAUUCAUAAAAGUUGGGGUCUUACAUAGUACCCCGUGAAUAGUACUUCGAGUGAAUAGUACCCCGAAUGAAAAUAAUGAAAUUUAAUAAGAAAGUUCAAACCAAUAUUCCAAUGAAAUGAUACUAGAAGAAGCGCAAAACUCAAGGAUAUUUUACUAAUUUCAGGGAUUAUAGAAGCAAUACUUACCAUAGUAAGUUUAGAUUUAGAAAUAUGAAAAGAAAUAGUAUACAAAACUGCAAAUGGAUUUUCACCCGUCAUGCAGUAAUCCGCGUAGACAAAUAUUUUCCACAAAUAAAGAAUGAGUAUGAAGGGUUAUUCACCAUGGAUGCGGUAAUCCACGUAGACAGGUUACUCCCGCAGUUUAAUAAAUAAUGAAUACUGCAAUAGUGAAGUAGCAAAAUACACUUCUUCUUUGUCUUUAUAGUUUUAGUGAAUUCGUAAGAAAGAAUAAAGAAAUGAGCUUCUAUUUAUAGGAUAAUGGACUAAAUAAUAACUGAUUCACGGACGGUCUAAAUUGAUUUACUAUUAAAAUCUCAACCGUUCCAUAUUGAUUUACUAUUAAAACCUCAACCGACGGUCUGAAAAAUUAUCACAUCUCCCCAUGGAAUAAUAAGCCAAACUUACAACAAAUGUCUCAUGACAAACCCCUCUAUUUAUAUCAAAAAUUGAAUAAAUAUUUACCACAAUUCAGUUAUCUUCAAUAAACACAUUUUUAAUCUUUCAAUAAUUAUUCAUCAUUAAUAUUAUAACUCACAAUAUUGACAACCAGAUCAUUCCCAGGAAAGAGGGGGCUUUCCGAUAUGGAUUUCUCCUUAUUGGCGCACAAUUAAAUAACCUAAACCCUUUCCUCGACAAAACUUUCUACACAUUAUCAAUAAUGCAAAUAAUAAUAUAAAUAAAUGUGUCGUCUCAAUUAUUGAUUUAAUAAUAUAAAAUAUUAUGCAGAUAAUAUUGUGGCAAUAAUUGAAUCAAUAAUAUGAGAUACUAUGCAACAACUACUGUAGCAAUUAUUGAAUGAAACUGAGUGACUUCUUACGUAAGCAUCAAUAAUUAGAGAUAUUGUGCAAUACCGUGUGCUACUGUGCAGCAACGCGUAUUACUGUUCUUUCAUCACCGAUAUUUCAAUAGCUAACGGUAAAAGUUUUGCCGUUAUUUUUUAUAAAAAGGUUAUUUAUGCCACUUUCUAUAUCCGACAGUUAUUUCGUUAUGUGGGGUCCACCAAUGAUCAUGCUUUCUUAUGAAUAUUUUCGACAAAAGAAUAUUCCCCGACCAAACGAAUAUUUUAUGACAACUUGCUUACUUUGCAAAAAAUUGCACAUAUCACCCAUAACUAUACCAUUAUAUCAAAUCAAUACCUUAUUAUUCAAAAUAAUAUUUAGAGAAAAUAAAAUCUUUAUUAAUAAAAAGUUGGGGUCUUACAACCUCCCCUCCUUAUGAAAUUUCAUCCUCGAAAUUGAUGUACGUACCUGGUAUGUCGAAGAUGUGAGGAUACCUUGUUUUUAUUUCAGAUUCUAACUCCCAGAUCAUUUCCUCAAUAUCAUGGUUUCUCCAUAAAACAUUGAAUUGAGGAAUAACCUUUGAGCGUAGAAUAUGCUCCUUCUUAUCCAAGAUCUUGAUAGGUACCUUCUGUGAAAAAUGUUAUGAACACGAGACAUACUUUGUGGUAAGGCGAGUCUAUAGGCCACAGUUCCUACUCGAUCAAGGAUUUCAAAUAGAACAAUAAAUCGAUGGUUGAGAUUUCCUCUAUUCGUCGAUUCUUGCUUCUAGAAUAGCACCUUCUUGCACCUUCUUCUUCAUAUUCAUCAGCUCUGAGUCUAUAGCUUGAGCAGCUUUAACUAUAUCGAUUAAAGUCAGUUCUACUCAUAUAUUUAUCAUUUUCACGUGGGUCCUUAAAGUCUUUAAUUCUAUCUCCAUACUUUUUAAGCCAUACAAAAUGGGCCUUUGUGUUGACAAUAUCGCACUCGAAGCCGCAUAUGAUCUUCUACUCAACGCGUCAGCUACCACGUUUGUUUUUCCAAGAUGGUAUUGAAUGGUAUAGCCGUAAUCUUUCAACCGCUCGAGCCAACGUCUUUGGCGCAUGUUAAGUUCCUUUUGAGUGAAAAAAUAUUUGAGGCUCUUAUGGUCUGUGUAGAUCUCCACUUUCUCCCCAACAGGUAGUGUCUCCAGAUCUUUAGCGCGAAAAAAACUGCUGCCAACUCUAGAUCAUGGGUAUGAUAAUUUCUCUCAUAUUCUUUGAGUUGUCAAGAGGCAUAGUGUGACGCCUCCAAAGUAUUUUUUACAUCACUCAUUCUGAGUCACCAAAUACAUGAUAUAGAAAAUAACAACUUUAUUAUUACAAUUGUCGUGCAAAAUACGACAACACGUACUGUGAGUUUAAAUACAAAUAUUGUCUUCUAGAUAAUAUCCACACUCAAAUAAGUCCUCAUUACAAUUAUUGAUAUACUAUUUUACAAAAAUAGCGAGGACUGCUAAAAUAACUUUCUAGAACCAUCAUUCCAUACCCCGGGUAGUUCCUGCUAAAUUCUCACUUUUUGAGAAGAAAAAUGGAACAAAAAGGAAAAGGGUGAGUUCAACUAGCCCAGUAAAGAAUAUUAUGACUAAGAUAAUAUAAAACAAAUUAUCAUUAGUCUUCAACAGGGAAAAAUCUGAUAGAAUAUAAUAGACAACAAGUUUUAGAUCAACAACUACAGCGGAAAUAACAAUCCAUUAGAAGUGUCAAGUAGAGAAUGAAUUCUAUUGGAAGAAUGCAUAUUGUGAUUUGAUGUUUAAUACUCUUGAUUAUGUGUAAAGUUCUUCAAAGAAUAUAUGUACAAGGACUUAGUGACAGAUCAAAAUUGUUAGGUUGAUCUUAGCCUUUAAUAUUCACUUGUAUAGAUAAAGAGAUCAAAUUUAUUAAGAUUGAUCUGUGGCUAGAAAGAUAUAGAUAGGCCUUGAAAAGAAUUGUAGUCUAUCUGGCUGAUCAACAGAAUGCAGAAGCCAAGGCAAGAUCGUAGUGCUGAACUGAUAGCAGUAUAUCUGCAGUAAGGGCCUCUCAAGGAAUCGUAGAGUGAUCUAGACAUCUGCCGAGUUAACUCAAAGAUCGUAGUAUGUUCUCAGAAACGUUGAGUCUGCAGAACGAGCAAGUGAUGAUCGUCGUGUUAAAAGACCGUAGUGUGAGCAAUCGUAGUGUUCUCUUAAGGACCAGCACCAAUAUGACAAGACACUACGAUUUGGAUAGUAGAGUGUCAUCUGUCUUAUGUCAGAAGCAUCAAGCCCUAACUUUCGAUUCCAACAAAUGAGGAAUGGGUUUUGAACGUUAAAACUAUCACCAGUCCCAACGGUACAAAAGAUAUCCUUAGUAUUGAUCAAAAGAGACGCAUUCAAGAAGUUAAGAAAAGGACCAUUGGGCAGAGGAAAACAACUUUUGAGGCGUUAGGUGAGAAAGCAGUCUGUUGUGUCAGUGGGCCAGAGUGCUAUUCAGAAGAUAUGCAGAAAAGUCUCCAUCAAAGCUCAAAGAUGUCAAACGCAUUUAAUGCCUCAUCAGAUGACUUCAACGGAUAGAUUUCAAGAUCUCAUAUAUACAGAACAAAGGCAGAUGAGAGGAAAGUAAGCAAGCAUUAUACAAAACGAACAAGAACACAAAGUACAGGACUCUACGAUCUGAGAAAAAGAUAAAAAAAGCUUGCUCAGCUACUCAGUUCUUUCGAACAAGUGCUUACCUGUAACUGAGUAGCCUCCAUCACUACUCAACAACUGUAAAUCUACUAAAGUGUGAGGUUCCAAAUUAGAAGAACUUGAAGAGUUCUAAGUGAACUGUGAAGAACCAAGUCUGAAAGACUUGAAGAGUUCUAAGUGAACUGUAAGAUACCAAGUUGCUGAACUUGAAGAGUUCAAGAGUGAACUAAGAAGUACCUAGAUUGCUGAUCUAGAAGGAAUCUGUGAGAUUCAAGAAGUGUAACAAUCAUCCUUAGUGGAUUUCCUACUCAAGGAGUAGAAGAGUGUACUAGGAGCCUUUAGUGCUCUGAACCACUUAAAACUAUUAUGUUCAUAUAACUGCUAUAACUGCAAUAUCUGCUAUAUCUGUCAUAACUGCCUUAAUCUCAUUAACUCAAGAUAUAUUUCAAAAGGUUUUUCACAUACACUCAUUCCGCUGUGCAUUGAUUGCUAUCAACUUAACGGGUUUAAAAUAAAAAGUUUUAAUUAUCUAUUCAACCCCCCUUCUAGAUAUCUAUCGUGCCUACUGGGAACUAACAAAUUCUACUAUCUUCUAAGAUUUAAAAGUCCAUCAUCAAUAUUUUAUCCCUGUAACAUCAAUCAAUAUACAUCUUGAAUCAAAUUUUCAUCUUUGCACUACAGGCCAAAGAUAUUCAUUUGUAUCACCAGUUGGUCAUGUUCAUCUCAACACCUNNNNNNNNNNNNNNNNNNNNNNNNNNNNNNNNNNNNNNNNNNNNNNNNNNNNNNNNNNNNNNNNNNNNNNNNNNNNNNNNNNNNNNNNNNNNNNNNNNNNNNNNNNNNNNNNNNNNNNNNNNNNNNNNNNNNNNNNNNNNNNNNNNNNNNNNNNNNNNNNNNNNNNNNNNNNNNNNNNNNNNNNNNNNNNNNNNNNNNNNNNNNNNNNNNNNNNNNNNNNNNNNNNNNNNNNNNNNNNNNNNNNNNNNNNNNNNNNNNNNNNNNNNNNNNNNNNNNNNNNNNNNNNNNNNNNNNNNNNNNNNNNNNNNNNNNNNNNNNNNNNNNCUACUGGGAACUAACAAUUGGUAUCAAAGUAGGUUCUAUAAUACAGCCCACAAAGCUUAAGUAGAUCAAAUGGCACACUUACCAAGCGAAUCAAAGACAGGAGGAGACAGCAAGCCACCAAUGUGCAACAAAGAUAAAUUUGCUAACUGGAAGGUUAGGAUGUAAGCUUACAUGGACUCAAUGGAUGAAGAUCUAUUUGAAACCAUUCAAAAUGGACCCUACAUUCCUACAAAGCUUGCACUAACAGCAGAUGAUCGAAAUAAAGUACAGAUCAAGGUCAAAGAAGAAUGGACAGAGAAUGAGAAGAGAGCUGUCCAGCUUGAUAAAAAGGCCAAGAAUAUCUUAUUCCAAUCAUUAGAAGAUGACCUAUUUGAAAACGUGGUCAACUGCAAGACAGCUAAGGAGGUUUGGGAAGCACUACUCAUCAUGCAUGAAGGAACAGAAGAAGUCAGAGAAAAUAAACAAUCUCUCCUAACUCAACAAUAUGAAAUGUUUGCUCAUGUUCAAGGAGAAAAUGUUACUGCUACAUACGAGAGAUUCAACAUUCUGCUCAACUCUCUACGAGCUUAUGGAAAGAUCUAUCCAAACAAGGAUUUGAUCAUAAAGUUCAUGAGAGCUUUACCAAGUAAGUGGGAUGCCAAAACAACAGGCAUUAGAGAAUCAAAGAAUCUGCAUGAAAUGACUGUUCAAUAGUUAUAUGGUAAUCUCCUCACAUACGAGCUGGAGCUGACACAACGAGCAGAAAUAUUGUCUGAAGGAAGAAAGAAAGACAAAGGUGUUGCCCUCAAAGUAACUAAAAAUACAUCCAAGAUCAACACUGAUGCUGACUCUGACUACGAUGAAGAUGAUGAUGAGGACCUUGCAAUGCUAGUCAAGAGACUAAGAAGAUUCAUGAGACAAGGUAGGACUAGCAAGCUAAAGAAAGGUGGAAACUACAACAGCUAGGAACAAAUGAAUGAUCUAUGCUACAACUGCAAGAAACCUGGCCACUUCAUCGCCAACUGCAACAAACCUCUCAGGGAAGAACUCAAAAAGAAAUUAAACGCAAAGAAGGAAUACAAAGGUAACAAGAGACCAGCAAAGAAAGACAAAGGCCUUAUAGCUGGAGGAUCGUGGAGUGACUCUGACAAUUACUCAACUCCAGAAUUUGGAGACGAUGAAGAUCCCCAGAUGGCUAACCUCUAUCUAAUGGCCAAAAGUCCAAGGGACAAACAGAACUCCAAUAUACAUGAAGUAAGUAUUGAUGAGGUAUUUGACUUUAACUCUCCUGACGUAGAUAUUAAUGAUCUCAAAACUGCAUUACAUGGCAUAACAUCAGAUCUACACCAAUAUAUGAAGUGGUUUAGAGUUCUGUCUAAGGGUUAUUAACUUCUUCAAAAGGAGAAAGAAAAAGUUUAAGAAGAACUGGAAACUGCUCUUCUCAACACUAAUUCUUUCUCUGAACUUGAAGUUGAGAAUAAGCUCUUGAGACAAUCAAGUGAGCUUAAUGCCAAAUGAGAGUCUAGUCUAACCUCAAAAAUUGAGGAUCUAAAAAAGACCAUCUCAACAUGGAAUAAAUCCUCUUCAUCCAUGGACUCUUUGAUCUCUAAUUAGAGGAAUAUCUCUGAUAGAACAGGACUAGGCUUUGGGGAAUCUAUCCCAUGGUCAAGUGUGGAAAAACCAAAGGAUAUUAACACUGGUAAUGCCUCAGGCCUUAGUAGAGGUAUUAUAUUUGUGAAAUCCUCACAGAAUGAUGAGCCCGUCAAAUCCUGCUCGACUAACUCAAUUCAUAUUCCCAGAAGUCGGGGAUCUCAUGCUGGUCUAGGUUUCAGAAAAGAGAAAAGUAAUCUAGCCACUACUCAUCAACCUCGAAGGAUCGUAGAGUCAAAUAAAAUCAACUCUACGAACCAACCAGGAAGAUACAGUAAUAGUAAGAUAUACUCUCCUAAAUUUAUGAAACAAAAGAACACAUGGAAAAAGGUAUAUCAGCCUAGCAGGUGGAUGACCAGUAACCCACAAAAGUCCAAAUGGAGGAAGACCUCUCAUACACACACGUACACACAUCAUAUCAAAUGCUUUGAGUGCCACAGAGUUGGUCACAAGGCUGUUAGUUGUCAUUAUAACUCCAUGCACGAAAGACCCAAAAUCAAGCAGAUUUGGGUCCCCAAGGGUACUAACAUAGUAGGACCCAUGCAAAUGUGGGUACCAAAAUGAAGGUUCAAUGUUAUCUCAGGAAAGGAGCUCUGGGAACUCAACCUGGUAUCUGGACAGUGGAUGUUCAAGGCACAUGACUGGGAACAAAGCUCUCCUAACUAACUUCAUAGAGAAGAAGGGUCCCUCGGUCAUAUUUGGAGAUAAUGGCACUGGCAAGACAAGAGGCUAUGGCUCAGCCGGAAAUGGUGCGAUAUCAUUCAGUAAAGUAGCCUAUGUGGAAGGACUACAGCACAACCUUCUAAGCAUUAGCCAACUCUGUGACAAGGGGCAUCAAGUAACAUUCAUCAAUAAUCAAUGUCAAGUCCGAGAUCUGAAGACAUCUGCAGUAAAGCUAACUGGAACAAGAGAAGGAAAUGUCUACACAGUAAAUCUUGGACAACUAAGCUCAGACGUGACAAUAUGCUUUCUGGCUAAAGCAUCUGAAGAAAUGAGCUGGCUAUGGCAUCGAAGAUUAUCCCAUCUCAACUUCAAAAAUAUGUCCAAAUUGGCAUCAAAAGAUCUAGUUGCAGGACUACCAAAGUUUAACUUUGUUAAAGAAAGGCCUUGCAAUGCCUGUCAACUUGGGAAGCAGACCAGAAGUACAUUCAAGAGUAAAACUAUCAACUCCAUUGACAAGCCGUUGCAGCUGUUACACAUGGAUCUUUUUGGGCCAAUUCCAACAACAAGCCUUGGGGGAAAGAGAUACUCACUGGUCGUAGUUGACGACUACACCAAAUUUACACAGGUAUACUUUCUAACAUCAAAAGAUGAAACAAGCCUCCAACUAAUCAAGAUGUUCAAGCUGGUGAUGAAUGAGAAAGGAAAGAAAAUCAAGGCAAUAAGAAGUGAUCAUGGCAGAGAAUUUGAUUUCUCAGAAAUAGAUCAGUUCUGCACAGACAAUGGGAUUAGUCACAACUUCUCAGCUCCACGAACUCCCCAACAAAAUGGAGUUGCUGAGAGAAAGAACAUGACAUUAAUAGAAGCUGGAAGAACUCUACUAGUUGUAGCUCAUCUACCGGAGUACUUAUGGGCAGAAGCGGUCAACACUGCGUGUUAUACUCAAAACAGAUCACUCAUACACUCUACGAUUAAAAAGACUCCUUAUGAACUUUGGAAAUGAAGAAAGCCAAAUGUCAGCUACUUUCAUGUGUUCGGCUAUGCAUGCUACAUACUCAACAAUGGAAAGAAGUACUUGACAAAGUUUCAACCAAAAUCAGACGAAGGAAUCUUUCUUGGAUAUGCCACAAACAGCAAGGCCUACAGAGUGUUCAACAAGAAGACACUGAGUGUAGAAGUCUCGAUUCACAUUAUCUUUAAUCAAACAGACUCAGACAAAACAGUGCUCCAAGAUACUGCGACUAGCAGUUCAGACACUACGAACGAGAUCGUCGAGCCCAAUACUACGAUCGUAGUGCCUGAUAAUGAAUUCGUUGAGCAAGAAAAUGAGAUCGUAGAAAGGCCUAUGCCAGACAAUGAAGCUUCACAUCACGAAGAAGAAAUAAACCUUGAAGAUCUGAGACAAGAAGGCAUAAAAACGGAUGUUCCAACAGGAAGUAGAUGGGCAAGAGAUCACACUCAAGAUCUAAUUAUUGGAGAUCCAAAUGUAAGAGUCAAAACAAGAGCUGCUACUCAAAAUGAAUGUUUCUAUCUAAGCUUCCUAUCUCAAAUGGAACCAAAGAAGAUAGAGGAUGCUAUGGAAGAUUCCAGCUGGAUAGAAGCCAUGCAGGAAGAACUUAAUCAGUUCGAGAGAAGCAAAGUAUGGAGACUGGUACCAAGACCAAAGAAUCACCCUGUUAUUGGAACCAAAUGGAUAUUCAGAAACAAGAUGGAUGAAGAUGGAGUAAUCACCAGAAAUAAGGCAAGACUAGUGGCUAAGGGUUAUUCUCAGGAAGAAGGUAUCGACUAUGACGAGACAUUUGCACCUGUUGCCAGACUAGAAGCCAUCAGAAUAUUCCUUGCUUUUGCUACUCACAUGAAGUUCAAGGUCUUCCAAAUGGAUGUCAAAAGUGCAUUCCUAAAUGGUGAACUUCAAGAAGAAGUCUACGUAGAGCAGCCUCCAGGUUUCAUCAAUCCACUUCUUUCUAAUUAUGUCUUUAGAUUAGACAAAGCCUUAUAUGGUCUCAAAAAAGCACCUAGAGCAUGGUAUGAAACACUGACUAACUUUCUUAUUGAAAAUGGAUUUACUAGAGGUAGAGUAGAUACUAUAUUAUUUCUUAGAAAGAAUAAAGAUAAAGUCCUAUUAGUUCAAAUCUAUGUUGAUGACAUUAUCUUUGGCUCUACUGAUGAAAAGUUGUGCAAAAGAUUUUCUAAGCUUAUGCAGAGCAAAUUUGAAAUGAGCAUGAUGGGUGAGCUGAACUUCUUUCUUGGACUGCAAAUAAAGCAGACUGAUGAAGGAAUCUUCAUAAAUCAAGCCAAAUACAUUAAAGACUUGCUAAAAAAGUAUGUCAUGGAAUCAGCAUCUCCUAUGAAAACCCCAAUUGCUCCUGCUACCAAGCUUGACAAAGAUGAAAAAGGUAAAAGUAUUGAUAUGACUCAAUACAGAGGUAUGAUUGGCUCUCUUUUAUAUCUCACUGCCAGUAGACCAGAUAUAAUGUUUGCAACAUGUAUUUGUGCUAGAUUUCAAGCUUGUCCUAAAGAAUCUCACUUAACUGCUGUAAAGAGGAUUUUUAGGUACCUCAAGGGUACACCUCACUUGGGGCUCUGGUAUCCCAAGGAAUCCUCAUUUAAGUUAAUAGGAUACACAGAUGCUGAUUUUGCAGGCUACAAAAUAGAUAGAAAAAGUACCAGUGGCACUUGUCAACUACUAGGUAAUAAACUUGUAUCCUGGUUCAGCAAGAAGCAAAACUCAGUAUCCACUUCAACUGCAGAAGCUGAAUAUAUCGCUGCUGGCAGUUGCUGUGCGCAGAUCUUGUGGAUGAAGAAUCAGCUAGUAUAUUAUGGGUUUGAAUUCAAAUCUAUACCUAUUCAUUGUAACAACACAAGUGCAAUUGCUAUAACUCAUAAUCCUGUCAUGCAUUCUAGGACAAAGCAUAUAGAAAUUAGAUAUCACUUCAUUAGGGAUCAUGUUCAAAAUGGAAAUAUUUCUUUACAAUAUAUCCCUACUGAAAAUCAACUUGCUGAUGUUUUUACAAAACCUCUAGAUGAAUCCAGAUUCAAUAAAUUGAUAAGUGAACUAGGCAUGCUUAAUUUGAAAGCAUGAAAUAUUGUGCUUUAGUUUGUACUAACCAUACAGACUUAGAGGCUGUGUUCGAAGUCAAAACAUGAUUGAAGGAAGUCCACGAUCGUAGAGCCAAAGUACAUAAAACUCAACGAACGCUGAACAGAAUCAACGAUCGAAGUACAGAUUCAACAAAGCAAGAGAAGCACCCCGUGAUGAUCAAGCAUAACUCAAAUCAUUCCUUCUGAUAAGUGCCUCUGGGACAAACCUAACCCUUGUUUUAUUCAAGAGGUUGGCCCUUCUUGAGUCACUCUUAUUCAAGAAGAAUGUUAAGUCAAAAAGAUUCAUCACAAGGACCUAUUCAGACUCUACGACCGCUAACACAGACUCGACGAUUGCCGAACAGACACUACGACUGAUGAACAGACUCGACAAAGUUCAAAGACUAUCUCAAUGAUCGUAGUCCUCCUGAAGAAAGCAUUGGCUCGGAUAUGUUAAGGACAAUUCAGUACAAUCCUUCUCUGACAGAUUCGUAGAGUCAAGUAGAAUUUGACACCUGUCCUACUAAGCAAAAUAGAGAAAGGAAAGUUACUAGUACGAAUUAAAAUCGUCUUUUUAAGUUCAAAAGAUCAUCUCCCUCUCAUCUUCUCUCAAGCAGAAACCCUAAAUCAGUAGCAAGCUCUGUAAACCCCAUCUCCCACAAAGAAAUUAAUGGCAGCUUCCAAUGUUAUUUCCGGCUACAGACUUUGCUUUGACGAAUUCAAAACUGCUGAACCCCAGUUUCACAAGAAUCUGUCUCUACUAAAGAAGGCAGGUCUCAAAGAAGCCUUGGGUACGGAUACAUUGAUCUACCUGAAGUUGGUCAAGGAGUUCUACAAUAACGGUGUAUUUGAAGACAACACUAUCACAGCACGGGUAAGGAACGUUGAAAUCAAAUUGAAGGCUGAGGAUAUUAACCUAGCCCUAGGUCUCAAGUCAGAAGGGUACCGGUCCAUAGAAGGAAUAGACUUUUACAAGGGUCUCAAGAAGAUGCAUCACAAGAAGUCACCAACUGUUAAAGGAUACAAAAAGAAGGAAUUCCCACAAAGGUAUGAGUUUCUGGCCGACAUUGUUGGAAAAUGCAUAUGCUGUAAAAGCUCAGGCCAUGACUCUGUAAAUGAGGUACAAUUAAAACUCAUGACUGCCUUAUGUUAUAAAACGCAACUAAACUAUGGGGCUAUUUUACUUAAAUGGAUUGGGAAAUGGAUGAGCAACUCAAAGAAAACCAAGAGCUCACAGAAGAUGCUCUACGGUCGAUUCAUCAGUAUUAUCCUACAGGCUGCUCUUGGUGAUCUAAUUGAAGAUGAUGAAGGUGAAACCAUAAAUCCAAACAGACGAAUGACCCAGCAGCUGUUUGAAAACUGGAAAAGAAAUCCAGCUGAAAAUGUGAAGAUGACAUGUGAAUCCAGUGAUCAAACUGGUGAAGUAAAGGGAAUAGGAACUGCAGGGAAUAUGUCUGUUGUCAAAGAAUCUGAGGAAGAAGAAGAAGCAAAUAAGGGAGAACCCAUUACGUUAGUCAAAAAAAGGAAAGUUAAAUCAGUAGAAGAGCCUCAAGGAUCCUCCACCAACAAACAUGCAGAGUCCUCAAACAUUGAGACUCUCAGAAUCUUAAGAAGAAAGGAACAACAAGCUGAGGCUGCAGAAGACAGAGCAACAAUAUCACAACUGCUGAAGAUGAGUAAGACCAGCCACAAGGGCAAGAAGCCAUCAGUCUCUUCGAUCGUCGAGUCUCCUCCGAUCAUAGAGCACAGAUCAAACAAGGAAGCUGUUGUCUUGGCCAGUCUGAAGGACACAACUGAAGAAAGCCCUGAGGCUGUAGCACAGGCUAAAAAGCCAAGGAGGAAACUUGUCAAGAAGUACAUUCUUGCCAAUAAAGAACUGCUAAGAAGGGAAAUAGAAGAACUGAAUACCAAAAAGGAACCAACCAGUGAAUGUCAAGAAAUCAUUACUCCUACUGAAGAGAAGGUACCUGAAGACCACAUGAUAGAAGAUACACCCACUGAGGGGGAGAUGCCCAAAAAUCUUCCACUAGAGAAUGCUCCAGUUGAGGGGGAGCUAUUGACAUCUCAACAAAAUGAUCAAACUGAGGGGGAGGAUUAUGACACCUCAAUUGCUGAAAAAGAAGUUCCUGGAGAAGUUAAUAAAGAACCAGUGCAAGCACAUCCUGAAACAAUUGAUAUAAUGGAAUCCUCAACCGAGAGCAGAGAAGAAAAUGAAGAAGAUGAAGUCAAAAUCAUUGCAGAAGGCAUAGAUGGAUACAGAAGAUACAACUAUGAGCAACUAUUUUCAUAUCUUCCUAUGAUGUCCUUCCACCGGGCCCAAAUUCUAAACUCUUGGGAUCACAUAUUCCAGAGCUUCAAAGAAUACCCGGCUAUCUCUGUACUGGCCAAUGGAUUUCCAGGAAAACUCAAAUUUGCCAAGAAGCUUCUCACCAACAAUUCUUCCCCACAGGACAAACUUGAGGUACUAUCAAUUCCAAUUAUUUUCAGAACCAAUCAUUUGCCAUCAACCUCAUUCAAUCAAUUCUAUGAAAUCCCACAAUGGUUGCAAGUAAUUCUCCAUCCCCAAAACCAAUUUCCAGUUACAAGGUCCCAAAAUCCUGUAACUGAGGAACCAAAUAUAACCAACCCCAUAAGGCUGCCAAACUCUAUCCUCUCUACGAUUACUAACUCUAGCCCUCUGAUAGAGUGCACACCUCCAAUCGUAGAGUCACCAAGUUUCACCAUCCAAAACUAGGCCCCUCCAUCAAAUAUCCAUUCCUCGUCCAGAAAUGAAUGCUUCAAUCUUGAACUUGCUCUCUGCUCACUGAAAGAACAAUUCAACAAUACACCACCUUCCUCCUCAAAAUUUCCCCAAUUGGAUGAAAUCCUUUCAGAAUUGUCUACCAAGGCUGAUCUAUCAGCCAUGUCUGAGAAAAUGGUCAAGGAACUAGACGAGAGUCUUGACGAUCAUACUGCACUGAUACAGCUGAGACUGACAUCCAUGAUCAAUGCUGCAAACACCCUUCCAAGAUCCCUGAGCUCUAAACUGUCUAAAACACUCAAAGAGAUUAUCAGCGAAAUGCUACAAAGCAUAAAGGACAGGGAUGAUAUUCACUUCCUCUCAGCCAAAAGACAUCGGGAUGCUGUCUUGAUUUUACAGAAAACUCAAGAAUCUCAGAACCAGCAGAUGAUACAAAGCAUUCAAAAUCUUCUAACUGCUGUCAAAGAAUUUCAACAAUUCUAUGUCAGCAGCGGCCAACAAACAGACAACAUUCUCUCCAUCCUUCAGCAAAGAGAAGCUAGGUCUGAAGUUCUCAUCGAAGAAAAUAGAGAAGACAUUGCUCAGACCAAGAGUCAGCUCAACGAACUUGUCCAAGGAGUUGCUCAUCUUUUCGAAGACAUUCGAACCCUUGAUGCUGACAUAAAGGGGGAGAAUAGAGGCAAAGGAGAUCGGGAAGGUCAAGGAGGCAAGGGGAGAGGCAGAGGACAAUUCCAAACUCAAACAAUGAGGAACCCACCUACAAGGCAAAUCUCUCAGCAGACUCCACAAUCAAGCUAUCAGACUCAACGAUCUGAUCAGCAGGAAGUUUUGGUAGCUCAACCUUUAAGGAGUCUAGGGCCAACUACUAGCUCGCAUGAAGUAACUGCAACAGGCCUAAGAAUACCAAUUGGAUAUCCAUCAUUUAUGAAUAGGCACGACCACAAUCCAAGAUUAAGCCCUAGUGAACUCGAAGAUUUAGCCAGGAGAGAUGAAGCCAGCAGAAAAAGGAGAGCAGAAGAAAAGGCAAAACCUCCAAGGAGCAAAAGGCCAAGGAAAUAGAGAUAAAUUGAAUUUCAAUUCUUAUUGAUGUAAUUAAUCUCAAAUGUAACAUCUAUCCUCAUACAUCAAUAAAUUCAUGCUUACUCUCUAGAAAUUUUAGCUGCUCACUGAAAUACUAAGUCAUGUUUACUUUUUCUGCAACUGCAUAUAGAAUUUAAUAAUCAUGACAACAAAUCUCCUUGGUUAUGUCAACAUCAAAUAGGGGGAGAUUGUUGGAAGAAUGCAUAUUGUGAUUUGAUGUUUAAUACUCUUGAUUAUGUGUAAAGUCCUUCAAAGAAUAUAUGUACAAGGACUUAGUGACAGAUCAAAAUUGUUAGGUUGAUCUUAGCCUUUAAUAUUCACUUGUAUAGAUAAAGAGAUCAAAUUUGUUAGGAUUGAUCUGUGGCUAGAAAGAUAUAGAUAGGCCUUAAAAAGAAUUGUAGUCUAUCUGGUUGAUCAACAGAAUGCAGAAGCCAAGUCAAGAUCGUAGUGCUGAAGUGAUAGCAGUAUAUCUGCAGUAAGGGCCUCUCAAGAAAUCGUAGAGUGAUCCAGACAUCUGCCGAGUUAACUCGAAGAUCGUAGUGUGUUCUCAGAAACGUUGAGUCUGCAGAAUGAGCAAGUGAUGAUCGUCGUGUUAAAAGACCGUAGUGUGAGCAAUCGUAGUGUUCUCUUAAGGACCAGCACCAAUAUGACAAGACACUACGAUUUGGAUAGUAGAGUGUCAACUGUAAAUCUACUAAAGUGUGAGGUUCCAAGUUAAAAGAACUUGAAGAGUUCUAAGUGAACUGUGAAGAACCAAGUCUGAAAGACUUGAAGAGUUCUAAGUGAACUAUAAGAUACCAAGUUGCUGAACUUGAAGAGUUCAAGAGUGAACUAAGAAGUACCUAGAUUGCUGAUCUAGAAGGAAUCUGUGAGAUUCAAGAAGUGUAACAAUCAUCCUUAGUGGAUUUCCUACUCAAGUAGUAGAAGAGUGGACUAGGAGCCUUUAGUGCUCUGAACCACUUAAAACUAUUGUGUUCAUAUAACUGCUAUAACUACUAUAACUGCAAUAUCUGCUAUAUCUAUCAUAACUACCUUAAUCUCAUUAACUCAAGAUAUAUUUCAAAAGGUUUUUCACAUACACUCAUUCCGCUGUGCAUUGAUUGCUAUCAACUUAACGGGUUUAAAAUAAAAAGUUUUAAUUAUCUAUUCAACCCCCCUUCUAGAUAUCUAUCGUGCCUACUGGGAACUAACAAAUUCUACUAUCUUCUAAGAUUUAAAAGUCCAUCAUCAAUAUUUUAUCCCUGUAACAUCAAUCAAUAUACAUCUUGAAUCAAAUUUUCAUCUUUGCACUACAGGCCAAAGAUAUUCAUUUGUAUCACCAGUUGGUCAUGUUCAUCUCAACACCUGUUCAUCUUUGCACUACGGGCCAAAGAUAUUCAUCAGUCAAUCAUUCAUCUUUGCACUACAGACCAAAGAUAUUCAGUAAUAUCAUUAUUUAGGACUGAGGAUGAUGAAAAAUAUCUUAAAGAAAACGAAUCUAGUGAGACAAAAGGACAAAUAUUAGGGAUUCAUACUACAGUUUAUCCAAGUUCAAAAGCACUUCUUAGUGGCAUAAAAUUAAAGAAUGAAGAUCAAAACAUGGAUACAAUCAAUGAUAGUAACCACAAUAAACAACUUGGACAAAGAAAGAAAAAAUUUAUUUUUCUAUGAAUAGUAUCGUAUACGUGAAUAGUAACCCCGACAUGAAAAAGGAAGAAAUUUCACAAUAAAAUUCAUACAAAUAUUUCGGUAUAAUGAUAUUGAAAGAAUAACAUCAUUACAAAAAAAUAACAUCCCUUACCUCAAAAAAACAGUACUUCUGACCGGAAUAUCGGAUGUAAUGCCGAAGAAAACUUGCACUGAAUAGAAACUCUCAAAGUAUCUAAAUAAUUACAAAAAUACGCUCGAUAAUAUAGAGAGAGAAAACUUAUGUUUCUAGUGUGAUUUUUAAUUCUAACCUAAGCACCUAUUUAUAGAAAAAUGCUAGAACGCCAAAGGAGACUAAAUUAAUAAAAUAUUAUUAAUUUAUACAAAAUUUUUAGCAUGCCACUUUUGAUCAAAUUUUAGCACACCACAGUGGGGCCCACCCAAAAUCAACAAUUUCUACACCAACCAAAAGUGGGGUCCACCAUGUUUUUAAUAAAAAUAUUUAUUUCCGAAACUUCAAUAAUUCAUAAUAAAUAGUCCUUUUAUCAUAAAAAUAAGAAUUUUAUGUCCAUUCCAUAGGAAAUCGAAUUCUCUACAACUUUGUAGAUUUAAUUUUUUACAAAUUCUAAACGAAAAAUGACCGAAAUCCACAUACGAACGAUUUUUAAUACCUUCAUUCCAACAAAAUACUGAUAAAACACCUCAGCAUUAAUUCCUUUAUUUAUAUCUACAUAAAAUAAAUAUAUCAUUCAUUUAUAUCUACAUAAAAUAAAUAUUUUCUUAUCAUAUAAAUCAAUAAUUAAUUAUUCACAAAUAAUAUUACAGAAUCACAAUAAUGACAACUAGGCCGUUCCCAGGAAAGAGGGGGCUUUCUGAUAAGAAUUUCUCCUUACUAGCGCGCAAUUAGAUGACCUAACCCCUUUUCUUGACAGAACUUUUUAGAUAUUGCCAAUAAUGCUAUCUAAUAAUAUUAUUCAAAUAAUAUGAAUUAUUGAUCUGAUAAUGGGAAAUAUUGUGCAGUACAAUUAUUGAAACAACAAUAAUAUAAAAUAUCAACGUAGCAAUUAUUGAAUCAAUACAAUAAAAUAUUAAACAGUAAUUACUGUAACAAUUAUUGAGUAGUGCCUUCUUACAUAAAAAUCAAUAAUUCAAAAAUAUUGUGCAAUACCGUGUGCUACUGUGCAACCACGCGUAUUACUGUAUUUUAACCACCAGGUAUUCCAACAGUGUUAACGGUAACGAUUAAGCCGUUAUUUAUAAAAACUCAUACUUAUCGUUUUCUUCACCCGACCGUUUUUCAUUAUGGGGCCCACAAAUGGCUGCGCCGUCGUACGAAUAUUUCCCGACAACAAGAAUAUUCCACAUCCAAACGAAUAUUUCCCGACAAUAAUGAAUAUUUUAUAAUGACUUGCUUAUUUUGCAAAAAUUUACACAUUUCACCCAUAACCAAAGCAUUAUAUCAAAUUAACACCUUAUUAUUUCAAAAUAAUAAUUAGAGAAAAUUUAAUUUUAUUUAUAAAAAGUUGGGGUUUUACACAUAGGCUAUGACUUUCCCAUGUUGUAUGAGAACAAAUCUUAUGCCUUUCCCAUGUUGUAUGAGAACAAAUCUUAUACCUCUGCUUGAAGCAUCGUUGUAGAAGACAAAUCCAUCUGAACCUGAUGGUAUUGUCAGAACAGGUGCUGAAAUGUGUCUUCUCUUGAGUUCUUGGAAACUCUUCUCACAUUCCUUGCUCCAACUGAAUUUUUUAUCUUUUCGAGUCAGCUGAGUUAAUGGAGUAAUGAUUCAAGAAAAUCCUUCUACGAAUCUCCAAUAAUAACCAAGUAAGCCUAGAAAGCUAAUUAUUUUGGUUACUGACUUAGGUUGCUCCUAACUUUGACUCAUAUCCCAACCUUAGAUAGCACCUCACAAUUUGCACCUAUCAGUUUGCCACCGCAUAAAUACGGCGUCCCCUACAGAGAGUCUGGCUUGGGUGCAUUCCACAAAGGAAGUCACUAAAUAGAGGAUCGGGUACCAACUCCUGUAGUUGGGUUUUUAACUCCUAAAGUUCAAUAGGAGUCAUUCGAUAUGAGGAUUUGGAAAUGGGUUUUGUAUCGGGUUCAAGGUCAAUACAAAAUUCAAUUUCACAUUCUAGGGUAGGCCAUAAAGUUCUUCGAGAAAUACGUCAAAAAAUUUAUUAACAACAGAAAUAUCAUUCAAAUCUGACGUAUUUUUGUUUAAAUCGGUGACAUGGGCUAAGAAAGCUUGACAUCCGUUUUUCAAUUAACGAAUGGCUUUAUGACUUGAUAUAAAAGUGAUUGACUUUAGUGGUUUGGUUGCUUGAAUUCGCAUAACAGGUUAGUUAGGGAUAUGAAAGCUAACGACCUUACGAAAAUAAUCAAUUUUAGCAUGAUGAGUAGUUAACCAAUCAAUCCCUAAAAUCACAUCCAAUGCAAGUAUUUUCAAAGAGAUGAGAUCAAUAGGUAUGUGAAGGUAUCAAUUUGAAUCAAAUAAGAUUUAUAAAUGGUGGAUGUAACAAAGGUUUCUCCCAACGGAGUUUUAACCCAUAAUUCAAAGUUUAAUUUCUCCGAAGUCAAGUUUAAACAUUGAGCACAAGCAGGUGAAACAAAAGAAUGGGUAGAACAAAUUAUACUUAGUCCUCAAUAAGGAAAAAUAUGAUAGAAUACAAUAGACAACAAGUUUUAGAUCAACAACUGCAGCGGAAAUAACAAUCCAUUAAAAAAGUCAAGUAGAGAAUGAUGUCUACUAUCUUCUAUGAUUUAAAAGUUCAUCAUCAAUAUUUUAUCCAUGUAACACCAAUCAAUAAUCAUUUUAGAUCAAUAAAUUAUCUAUACACUACGGGCCAAGGAUAUUCGUAUGUAUCAUUAGUGGUCAUGAUCAUGCCAAACAACUAUCCAUUUAUAGACUACGGGACAAAGAGGACUUUCACCACAACAUUUGUCUAUAACAUUACAGGUCAUGAUUAUACCAAUACACAAUUCCUGAUCAUAAUCAUACCAAUCAACAGUCCAUCUAUGCAUUACGGGCCAAAGAUAACUUUUACCACAAUAUAAGCAUGAGGAUGAUGACAAUGAUAUAAGGAAUCAAAAAAGUCAGAUCAAGAAUAAAUAUUAGAAAUUUAUAAUUCAAUUUAUCUAGAGUUCAAAGAAUGUCCAAAUUGUCAACAUGAUAACUAAUUUUGGAGUAAAAUUCAAGAAUGAUAUUCAUGUAUCAAAAAUAAUUUGGACAGAAAAGAAAUCAAUUUUGUCGUGAAUAGUACCCGAAUGAAUAGUACCCCGAGUGAAUGGUACCCGAGUGAAUAGUACUCUGUGAAUAGUACCUCGAGUGAAUAGUACCCAUGAAUAGUACCCCGAAUGAAAAUGUGACGCCCUCAAAAUAGGUAUACAUCACCCAUCUUGAGUCGCCAAAUACAUGGUACAGAAUACAAAUAAAAAUUUAAUUAUACAACUGUCGUGUAAAAUACGACAAAACAAAAGCUUAGAGUUUUAACAUAAAUAUUGUCUUCUAGACAAUAUCCAUACUCAAUGGAGUCCUCAUUACAAUUAUUAUCACACUAUCUCAUAGAAUAGUGAGGACUACUAAAGCCACUUAUCCUGGACCAUCACUCCAUUCCCCGACUCGUCCCAGCUACGUUCUCAUUUCCUGAAGAGAACAAUGAAAGCAAAAGGGUGAGCUCAACUAGCCCAGUAAGAAAUAUUAUGACUAAGAUAAUGCAGAAUAAAUUAUCCUUAGCCUUCAACAGUAUAACAACUGAUAGAAUAUAGUAGACAACAAGUUUAACUGCAGCAGAACAAGCAAUCCAUUAAAAGAGUCAAGUAGAGCAUGAUAUCUACUAUCUUCUAUGAUUUAAAAAGUUUAUCAUCAAUUUUAUCGUUGAGACUCAGCUUAAUAAAUAAACCACAUCAUCGAAUCAUCCAUGCACCAUGGCCAAGGAUAUUCAUGUAAUCAUCAAUGGUCAUGAUUAUACCGAAUAAUCCCUAGUCAUAAUCAUACCAACAACUGUCCAUCAAUGCACUACAGGCCAAUGAGGACUUUUACCACAUUAUUUGUAACAUUACGGGUCAUGAUUAUACCGAAUGACCCCUGGUCAUAAUCAUACCAAUCAAUAGUCCAUCUAUGCACGUAAGCCAAUGAUGACUUUCAUCACAAUAUAAGCAUGAAGAUGAUGACAAUGAUAUAAGAAUUAAUAAAAUGAAAUCAAUGAUAAAUAUUAAAGAUUUUAAAUUUAUCCAGAGUUUAAAAAUAUCCAAAUUGUCAACAUGAUACUGUUUUGUGGAGUAAAAUUCAAGAAUAAUAUUCAUGUAUCAAAAUAAUUUGAACAGAAAAGAAAUAUAUUUUUUGGUUAAAUAGUACCCCAUUAAUAGUACCUUGUGAAUAGUACUUCGGGAAUAGUACCUCAUGAAUAGUACCCCAGCAUGAAAAGUGCCCCAAAUACCCGAGUGAAUAAUAUUCGUGUGAAUAGUAAUUCAUGAAUAGUACUCCGACAUGAAAAGUGCCCGGAAUAUCUGAGUGAAUAGUAACGGGGUGAAUAGUACCUGUAAAUAGUAACUCAUGAAUAGUAUUCUGGCAUGAAAAGAUCAAUAAUUAUCAAGAAAGCUCGAAAUAAUUUUUCCAUAAAAAGAUACUGGAUGAAGCAAAAAUAUUAAUGAUAUUCUACUAAUUUCAUGGAGUAUAGAAGCAAUACUUUAACAGAAUGAGUGUAUAAUCAGGAAUACAAGACGAAAUAAUAUUACUCACAUACUACAGAGUAUGGAAGAAAAUAUUAUUCCUUAUGAAUACUGAACAAAAAUAAUAUCCCUUACAACUGUUGAACGAAAAUAAUAUUUCAACGAAUAUUUAACGAAGAUAAUAUUCUUAUGAAUAUUGAACGAAGAUAAUAUUCUUUAUGAAUAUUGAACGAAAAUAAUAUUCAUACGAAUACGAAAAAUAAUAUCUCUUCAGAAUAUGAAAUAAAUAAUACCCCUUACCUCAGAAGAAGACUGGAUACUGGAAUAGUGAAGUAUCAUACUUCUCUUCUUCUUUCUCUCUAUAGUUUCUCUCUCUAUAGCUUCUCUCUCGAUAAUUGCUCUUGUGAGUCUUAGUGAAUUGGUGAGAAUGAAGGAAGAAUGAGCUUCUAUUUAUAGAAAAAUAUAGUUUUGAUAAUUGCACGUUUUGGGGCUCGAAAUAUUACAGUAUAAUACAUUCAUCUUUUCUUUCAUUUUUAAUUUAGUCCUGCAAGUAUUAUCAAACUUGCACCACCUCCCUUAAUAGUAUAUCAUGUGAAUCAAUAGUACAAUCAUAUGAUUCAAUAGUUCUAUAUAUGUGAAAAAUAAUUAUAGUGUAGUACUUCAUCUAUACCUCCAUUUUUAAUUUAGUCAUGCAAGUAUUAUCAAUCUUGCACCACCUCCCCUAAUAGUACAUACAUGUGAAUCAAUAGUACACACAUGUAAACACAUAGUUAUAAUGUAAGACCCCAUCUUUUUAUAAAUAAAAUUGAAUUUUCCUCUAAUUAUUAUUUUGAAAUAAUAAGAUUUUAAUUUGAUAUAAUAUUUUGGUUAUGGGUGAAAUGUGCAAAAUUUUCAAAAUUAAGCAAGUGGUUAUAAAAUAUUCAUUGUUGUCGGGGAAUAUUCGUACGACAGCGCAGCCAUUUGUGGGCCCUAUAUCGGAAAACGGUCGGAUGAAGAAAACGAAGCGUAUGAAUUUUUAUAAAUAACGGCGUAAUUGUUACUGUUAACACUGUUGGAAUACCUGGUGGUUAAAAUACAGUAAUAUGUGUGGUUGCACAGUAGCACACGGUAUUGCACAGUAUUUUUGAAUUAUUGAUUCUUACGUAAUAAGGCACUACUCAAUAAUUGUUACAGUAAUUAUUGUUGAAUAUUUUAUUUUAUUGAUUCAAUAAUUGCUGCGUUGAUAUUCUAUAUUAUUGUUGUUUCAAUAAUUGUCACGACACAAUAUUUUCCAUUAUCAGAUCAAUAAUUCAUAUUAUUUGAAUAAUAUUAUUAGAUAACAUUAUUAACAAUGUCUAGAAAGUUCUGUCAAUGAGAGGUUUGGUCACCUAAUUGUGUGCCAGUAAGGAGAAAUCCUUAUCGAAAAGCCCCCUCUUUCCUAGGAACGGCCUGGUUGUCAUUAUUGUGAUUCUGUAAUAUUAUUUGUGAAUAAUUAUUUAUUAAUUUAUAUGAUAUGGAAAUAUUUAUUUUAUGUGGAUAUAAAUGAAGAAAAUAUUUAUUUUUAUGUGGAUAUAAUUGAAGGAAUUAAUGUUGAAGUAUUUUAUCAAUAUUUUAUCGGAAUGGAGGUAUUAAAAAUCAUCCGUAUGUGGAUUUCAGACAUUUUCUGUUUGGAAUUUGGAAAAACUUUCUUCUGCAAAGUUGUAGAGAAUUUGAUUUCCUAUGGAAUGGACAUAAAAUUCAUAUUUUUCUGAAAAAAGGGAUAUUUAUUAUGAAUUGUUGAAGUUUCAGAAAUUAAAUAUUUUUAAAAUUAUGGGUGGGAUCCACUUUUGUUUUUUUGAAAACAUGUGAGCUGCAAAAAAAAAAUCCAAGAUGGCAUGCUCUGAUUCAAAAGGUGUGGGCGUGGAAGGAAGAAAAAAAAUAUAUUAUUUUAUUAAUUUAGUCUGCUUUAGCGUUCUAGUAUUUUUCUAUAAAUAGGUGCUUAGGUUAUAAUUGAAAAUCACACCAGAAACAUAAGUUUUCUCUCUAUAUUUUCGAGCAUAUUUUUGUGAGUAUUUAGAUACUUUGAGAGUUGCUAUUCAGUGCAAGUUUUCUUCGGCAUUACAUCUGAUAUUUCGGUCAGAAAUAUAGUUAUUUUGAGGUAAGGGAUGUUAUUUUCUUCGUAAAUGAUAUUAUUUUCUUCAAUAUCAUUAUGCCGAAAUAUUGGUAAGAAUUUUAUUGUGGAAUUUCUACCUUUUUGUGUCGGGGUUACUAUUCACGUAUAUGACACUAUUCACAAAUACGGCACUAUUCACCGAAAAAUAAAAUUUUCUCCUUUUUGUCCAAGAUGUCUAUUAUGGUUAUUAUCUUUGAUUGUAUCCAUGUUUUGAUCUUCAUUUUUAAAUUAUGCUCCACAUUUGGUUAUUAUGGAGUAUUAUUAAACUUGGAUAAACUGUAAUAUGAAUCCCUAAUAUUUGUCCUUUUGUCUCAUUGAAUUCAUUUUUUUUAAGAUAUUUUUCAUCAUCCUCAGUCUGAAAUGAUGAUAUACUAAAUAUCUUUGGCCUGUAGUGCAAAGAUGAAUGAUUAAGUGAUGAAUAUCUUUGGCCCGUAUUUCAAAAGAUGAACAGGUGUUGAGAUGAACAUGACCGACUGGUGAUACAAAUGAAUAUCUUUGGCCUGUAGUACAAAGAUGAAUAUUUGAUUCAAGGUGUAUAUUGAUUGAUCUUACAGGGACAAAAUAUUGAUGAUGGACUUUUAAAUCUUAGAAGAUAGUAGAAUUCAUUCUCUACUUGACUCUUCUAAUGGAUUGUUGUUUCCGUUGCAUUUGUUGAUCUAAAACUUGUUGUCUAUUAUAUUCUAUCAGAUUUUUCCCUGUUGAGGACUAGUGAUAAUUUGUUGUAUAUUAUCUUAGUCAUAAUAUUCUUUACUGGGCUAGUUGAGCUCACCCUUUCUGUUUUGUUCCAUUUUUCUUCUCAGGAGGUGAGAAUUUAGCAUGAACUAGUCGGGAUAUGGAAUGAUGGUUAUAGAAAGAUAUUUUAGCAGUCCUCGCUAUUUUUUGUAAAAUAGUGCAUCAAUAAUUGUAAUGAGGACUUAUUUGAGUGUGGAUAUUGUCUAGAAGAUAAUAUUUGUAUUUAAACUCGCAGUAUGUGUUGUCAUAUUUUGCACGACAAUUGUAAUAAUGAAGUUGUAGUUUUCUUUAUGUACCAUGUAUUUGGCGACUCAGAAUGGGUGUUGUAUACCUAUUUUGGGGGCAUCACAUAUAAGCAUGUGAAUUAAUAGCAAUUAAUUGCUCAUUUAUCCGAUUAAUUACCCGAUUGGUCAAUAUAACCUCCAGACAUCAAUUAUUAUCGAAAUAAAUGUCGAUUUCCACUAACACUAAUAAUCCCAAUACAAUGGAAUUAUAAAUUUCAUUUUAAUCAACAUGAACUUAUUCAUCAUUAAUAUUAUAACUCACAAUAUUUAACAAUCAGGUCGUUCCCAGAAAAGAGGGGGCUUUCCGAUAAGGAUUUCUCCCUAUUGACGCGCAAUUAGAUGAUAUAACCUCUCUUUGACAGAACUUUUAGACAUUGUCAAUAUUGUAAAUAAUAAUAUGAAUAACUUUGUCGUCUCAAUUAUUGAUUUAAUAAUAUAAAAUAUUAUGCAGAUGAUACUGUGACAAUAAUUGGAUCAAUAAUAUGAGAGAUAUUAUGCAGCAAUUACUGUAGCAAUAAUUGAGUAUAACUGAGUGACUUCUUACGUAAGCAUCAAUAAUCAAUACCGUGUGCUACUAUGCAACCACGCGUAUUACUGUACUUUUACUACCGGGUAGUUCAACAGUUNNNNNNNNNNNNNNNNNNNNNNNNNNNNNNNNNNNNNNNNNNNNNNNNNNNNNNNNNNNNNNNNNNNNNNNNNNNNNNNNNNNNNNNNNNNNNNNNNNNNNNNNNNNNNNNNNNNNNNNNNNNNNNNNNNNNNNNNNNNNNNNNNNNNNNNNNNNNNNNNNNNNNNNNNNNNNNNNNNNNNNNNNNNNNNNNNNNNNCAUAUGUACUUAUAUAACAUUUCUUAGACUAUUCAGUUCACAUCGAAUUUACAGGUAUCGUAAUACCUUAAUCUUGAUAUUCCUUCAAGUACAUAUUAAUUCAUUUCUAGGGUUUUGGAAUUUUUGUAACCCAUAUUUUCUCUAUUCUCAUUCGAAUAGCAAACCAUAUAGGUUUUACUUGAAAAUUUUAAAUAAAUCCUCAAAUUCUCAUUUAGGUUUUAUUCUUUAACCUUUAUUCUAAUCAUUCAAGAUUUUAUGAAUUUUCGGGUUAUCACAUUCACCCCUUCUUCUAAGAAUUUCGUCCUCAAAAUUAAAGCAUACUAAUAUCUGCUUAUUCGAUGGAUCAAAACUAGGUUUUCAACUUAACCUUUAUAAUUUCCUCAUUCAAGGAUUUCUCAUCUAUUAUCACAUUUCACCAUAACUACUCACUAGGAGUUUACAACUUCUAAACAUUCAUAAAAACUAGGUUGUCAUAAUAACCUUUAUUCAAAUAUCUUAGAUUCUACUCGUACACAACGAGUUCACACUAUUUCAUAUCCAUCAUCACAUUCUACCAUAACAUUACUCUGAAGAGUUUUAAAAACUUUUUAUAUCUGUCUGAGGGAUCAUAAAAACUAUGAACUUUGAGGUUUAGGGGUAUUUCUACCUACUACCUCUUUCAAUUACGAAAGAAAGGUACUCUACCUCUGAAACAUUUCUUUAAUAGGUAUGUUUACAAUCACAAAGAAGGUAAACUACCGAUGCGGGUACUUUAGAUGAUCAGUCUGUUGUACCUUAGUAAUUGGAACGACUAUAUCGUUCUUAGAUUGGAAUAUUUUAUCCAAUUAGUAUAUCCCCAUUUUUAGGGUUGUUCACCUCAGACUUAUCAUAAGAUUCCUCACCAAAACAAUUUGGUUCGGCAUAAACUUUCAAAUAAUACUUUGAAUUUUCAUAAACAUUUGUCUAGCUGAAUCAAAUAGCUUAGACACAUAUCAAUAAUUCGAAUUUCAAUCGAAAUAUUUCUAGCCAAAUUCAGUUGGCAAUAAAUUAUCUUUAAAAUUCUUAAAAUCAUUUUGACGUCAUGAUACAGCACUAUAUAAACAGUCCGUUUGAGGAUUCCGUCAUUUUGUGACUUUGUCAUACUACAUCAUACUAUAGUGGGCUAAUGAUCUUAAGAUCACAUCCAACACUAAGUAAUUCUGCAUUGAUAACUCCAUCAUUUUUAUCAUCUCUGCACCAGGUUGCAUGAUGCAUUAGUGAUAUAAAAAUACCUUUUGAUAAUUCAAAUCAUUUUCGUCUAGCCGAAUCAAUAAGCAUAGACUCUUCUUUAAAUCGUUCAAAAACCUUUGCAAAUCUGUUUUAUCAUCUCAACAGGCAACGAGGUGUCGGUAGCCCGAAGUCCACGCAUACACAAUGGUUACCAAUAGUUGAGAAUAAAAAUUUAUUUUUCAAAAACACAUAGUGCGUAUUUAGCUUGAUGUCAAAAACUUUGAAGUCUAGUAUAGCUAGAAGAUUUGGAAUACCUAUGCUUCCAUCAUCAUCUUCACUUUUUCUACUGAUCCAUUGCUUAAUAAAUCUAUCUAUUCUUAUAAUCCUCAAUGCUUCAUUCAUAACUUUCCUAUACCCAGAUCAUCAAACUUACCACACAUUAUGGGUUCAGUAACUUGCCACAAUCAUAUGGGUUUAAGAACUUAUCCUAGUCAGACCAUAGGCGUCCAUUCGUUGAGGGGUUCAAAAUAUACCAUAUGAUUAUGAGUCAUGAAUUUACCAUAAGUAUGAGUUUUAAGAAUUCGCAAUUAACCUUAUAUUCUCUACCUAUUCGUUAUACACAUGAGAAAAGAAUCACCUUAUCAACAUGCAUAUAGAAAAUAGCGCGACAUUAGGUUCCAAUGAUUACUAAUGCCAGAAACUAAGUGGUUGUCAAACCAAACUCGGCCACUAAUCAAUAUAGGAAGCUAAGCGGACAAUUCCCCGCCCAUACAAAGAAUUGGUCAACCUAAUCACUAUAUCGACCAGGAAGCUAAGUGAUUCUAAAACCAAGUACAAAUUCCCCGCCCAUACAAGGAAUCAUACAACUCAGCUGCUGACCUGAGUCCUCAAUUGAAAACCCACACAAUUCUUACUUUCUCUUUUAUUAAUACGAAUUUUCUUUAAUCUGCAUCUUAACAUAUACCACUCUUUUCUGAGUUUACAUUGUACCAUUUCAUAGUACCUUCUCUUUGUAGCGUCAAGCUAUAACAUUCAAAUCAAUUAACAUAUCAUAUGUUAUUCAACAAUUUAAUCUGAUCACGUCGUGAUCUUAUUUCGAAAUCAUUUCUCCUUAUACUUACGAUCGUUUUAUAUUACGAUCUUCUUAUUCUUCUCUUAAUCAUAUUAUAUUAUGAUUUUAUUUGCACUUUUCAUCUUAUAGACAUAUUCUAUUUAUUUUCACUUUUCAUCUUUAUUACAGGAGUCAGGUAACUCCGGAUUCUUAUUCUUAUAUCUCUUCAAGAUUCUUUUUUGAAUCUUCUUUAUCUUCUUCUUUACUUAAUAAUGAAUUUCCAAAAAUUCAUCUCUUAUCGCUUAAACUCUAUUCGAGUUUAUUACUUAUCAUCAUCUUCGCGGUUAUAGCCUAAGGUAUACCUACCUAAGAUUUAUAACAUACGGCUUUGAUACCAACGGUAGCAGCCCCAAAUCCGGGUCCCAAAUCACCACGGAUCUGGUUCAAUCAUUCUACAACUAUUGCGGAAGAUAUAAACAUAAAUUGUUUAUACAUUAAACUUUUACACAUCAUUUCCAAGGUCUACAACCUUAAAUUAAUACAUACCUUCAAUAUCUUAGAAGAUUUACAAUGCUAUUUUCGUCAGAAAAUUUAAUAGAUCUAAUUGCAACAUACACUAAUCUUGCACUUUGACUUUGCUUCUGUCUUUAUUCGAGCUUUCAUCUAAAUCUGAAAAUUUUAUCAUGAUAUAACAAGGGUGAGCAACAAAUUUUCCCAACAAGUUUUACAUACAAUGGAGAUAUAUCAUGAUUGAAAAGAAUGAAUAAGCUUUCAAGUUUUCAACAAUUUAAUAAUUGUGAAAUAACAUGAAUCAAUUUCAAUGAUUGAAUGACGGAACCAAUAAUAUUGGAUGUCAACAAUUAACAUGAACAAUUUAACUAAACCUUAUGGUAAUGAAGGUGAUCAGCCUUUCAUACCUGAUGAACAUAUGCAACAUGCACAAUGUGCGAAUUAAUAAAUUAUUGACGUGGUAUAAUCAACAAUGAUUAACCACUAACAUGCUUUGAAUUAACAACUCAAGUUGAGUUAGGAAACUUGCCUGCAUAAUCAAUUACCGCUACGCAAUCUAAUGUAAUCUCUUAUGAAAGACCUAUAAAUUAUCAGAUCGAUCUUUCAAUUAGUAUAACAUACAUGUUAACUCAUCAUCUUAUAUUAAAUUGUCUAACCUAGUUAAGUAUUGGACAUUACUUUAUAGCCUUAGUAUUAUCAUAAUACUUUGAUAAUCUUUUUAUCAUGUCUUAACUUAUACUUAUAAGUUUUCCCUUUUAUAUGUUAUCUUAGUAAGCUAGAUAACCUUUCAGUAAACUGAAAUAUCAUUUCAAUAAACCGAAUUACAUUUCAGCAUCCUGAAAUUAAUAUAUCAGCCGACCACAAUCAGUUUAGUACACUAAAUUCAAUUUCAGCAACCCAAAAUCAAAUUCAGCAACCCAAAAUCAAAUUUAGCACCUUGAAUUCUCAUUUUAGUCUAUUACAAACAUAACAUAGUUUAUUGAAUACCAAAUUCAAAAAUUAUAUUAAAAAAUAACAUAAAUCUCUUAUUUUAAUCUCCCGUCGAAUAUUAUUGAUUAUGUAAUAAUAUUUUACGCUAAGGCUAUUAACCUUUUAAUAACAUUCUAGUUAAAUACUACUAAUAAUAUCUAAUUCCAAUAUUAUCAGCCCUAUAACAAAAAAAUUAAGUCAUUAAUCACAUUAAUAAACAAUUUAUUUCAAUUAUUUUCCUUUUAUUAAUUAACUUGUUUAAGCAUUCUAAAAUGCCAUAAACAUCACAACACUUCACACCCGACCCAAAACUUCAUCAAAUACCUGCAUAAGCCAUGCUCAAGGGUCUCAAGUCAUAAAUUGUAUUUUUCAUAUUUUUGGACAUCAUAUACUUACUUAAAUCCAUUUAUCCAUUUCUCAUCAUUUAGAUGAAAAAUACCAAAUCACUUCCAAAAAUAUUUCUUUUCCGGGAUUUGACAUAAUAUAGUUUCAUAUUGAACAUAUAUUUUUCCCGGAAUUUUUAAAAUAGAUUUACUAUAUUUAAAUAGUCCAUAAUAGCCAAAUCUUCUCCAAUUUUUCAUAAAUCGAGAUUAACUCCAAAAAUUCUGAUAUUUUUACAGUAUGUUUCUCAUAUACACAUGUACUUCCAGUAAAGAUUUUGUAAUUUUUGGACUUAUACACAGAGAGUUAUACGGGUGGCUUCAUAAAAGUAGCCCUUCACCGUAAAAUUCAUAUCUCUCAAACCGUAUGGCCAAAAAUUCUCAAAUUUUUACACAAUCUGCAUAACAACUGAUAUUAUCAUUCCGAAUUUUUCUAGAAUUUUUAAAGCACAAAAAGUAGACGAAAUUGCCCCCGCCACUGACUGAUCCAAAACAGUCCAUUUCCUUUUUCCAAAAAUGGGACUGUUUUGGCUUAAACAGUUACUACACCAUGAAAACUCAACAUUUUUGAGUGCUACCACUUGGGUUAACUACUAAACACAUAUAUCUAGCACCCCUCUUUGACGGAUCGCAAAAAGGAGUUAUAGAUUUAAAACGGUGGAUUUUCAAAGUAUAUAGAAAUUUCGGUUUUCAAAAUUAGAAAAAUUAUUUUUCUUUUCCUUUUGGUUUCCACCAAAUCAACACCUAAAUUGGGUAAAUCCAUACAUGAAUCCAUGAAAAACACAUAGAUCAUAGGGUGUGAACUACCAAAUCAAAAACCCCUUAAAUCAAAUCCAUAAACUAAAAUAGAGAAAAACUUAGGAAAAAAAAAAAUUUACCUUUGUUUUUCUUCUUCUUCUUCUUCCUUCUUCCUUCUUCCAUGGAGAUUCUUUCUUCUCCUUCUUUCUCCCUCAUGGAGGUUGCCGUCUCUCCUCUUCUUCUCUCCCUCUUUCUCCCGUUCUCUUCUUUCACGUUAUCUUUCUUUUUCUUUUCCUUUUCUCUUUCUCUCUCUUUCUUAUCUCUUUCCUUCUUAUCCUAUCCUUUCUUAUCCUUACUA